CGGUGGUGGUGGUGAUGGUGCUGGUGGUGGUGGUGGUGAUGGUGCUGGAGGGAUGGGGGGCCAGGCCGCUAGGGUGGGCGGCGGUUCUUGGGCUAUUGGUGUUGGAGCUGCUGCUGCUGGUGGUGGUGACGCUGUGGCUGGUCGGCGACGGGAGGAGCGACGGCGGGCUCGAGCUCUCCUGGUGGUUCGGCGACGACUCCAUCUCCCGGGUCGGGUCGAGCUUCGAUGAGCUCUUAAAAAUCCGAACUUUAAGCAGGAAUAGAGAGAGAGAUAGAGAGAGAGGAAGCACCAGAGGAGUUUGAAGUGCUGGAGAGAGAGAGAGAUGAGGUGAGAGAAAGAGAGAGGUGAGAGAACCGGGGGGGAAGAGAGAGAGAGGUAUUGGUUUUGGGUGGCUUUUGUUUAGGUUUGGUGGUAAGAAAGUGUAGGUGGGGGAGACUUUUUCGUUUCUUGGUCUUCGCGUGGGGGACGGCGGCGGCCGCGGCGGUUGCGCGCGACGCGCCGCCGGGGCGAGGUGGUGAGUUCCACUCGGGGUACGACAGAUGACGGCGACCUUACGAGUUCAACCUUUUGACCGAGCUUGGACUUGGGUCAAAAAGGAAAAACAGAUACAACUUUGGACAAAGCCAGCCAAUUGGGCCAUGGACACUAAUUUUAGAGCCCUAGUGAUAUUCCCAUUCCACCCCCUCUAUCUCUCUCUCUCUCUCUGGGAAAUUCUAUAUGGGAAAUUCAAAAUCCACCUCAUUCAUGCCAUACUUGAAUUUUCCUCUCGAGAGGAAUUUUCCCAUUUUUAGCUUUUUAUCCAAAUUUUGGCUUCCAUACAAUUUGAUUAUUCUUUAGUGCGAAGUGACUCAACCUUUUAAGGUAUAUAUAAAUAUGGGAAAAUUCCAUAUAAGAAACUGAAAUAUUCUCAAGACUUAAAGUGGAAAUAAAUCUUGCAUUAGCUGACUUAGUUUGCUACUUUUAUGAAUUUUUUUGAAAUAUUUGUUUUUAAUUUCACCGUUUUAGAGGGAAAUCAUCAAGUAAGGCAUACUACUUUUGUUCGAAAUGAAUGUCUUUUUUUCUUUUUCUUUUUUUUGUUAGAUAAAGGUGAGGAGCUAGCAUCUUCUUUGUGCGCUAUUACAAGAGUUUUACGCUCGUUAUGAAAUAUUCGAAUUGAGUGACUACUCCACACUGCCCACAGCUUGAAUGUGCAGAGUUGGCGAGUCCUUCAUCACAAACCCCACCAAUAUACUAACAAUUCAUAAUAUCUCAAAACUAGGUAGCGUAACAUGAGUAUCUUAUAGAAUCAGGUCACUGGAAAUCGAGAGGCCACCAUUCACUCAAGAUUUUUCGAUUUUCAUUCACCCUUUUUCGGGUUAUCCUUAGGGGAGUUCGGUGGGACACGUUGCUAGCUUAUAUAGCUUUUCCGGGCUUUGAAUGGGGGGAGGGUCACUAUUCAAAGCAAAUGUUUAGCAACACCUUUCUCUCACUGAGGUCACGAAAGCUGCCAUUUGACUUUUCCCACUUUCAUUUUCGGACAGGUAGAUGGCCGCAGAUGACGUUGGUGGUACGUUUGAUCGGUUCCUUUGACUUUUGUAUACCGCAUCCAAGGAUUUGACCAUAAUAAUUUGACGGCCAUUUCUAAGAGGUUGCUGAGCAUCCAAGAAUAAGACUUGUUCGUGUAAAGCGUGAUAGAAUGCAUCGAGAAACGGCGCUUUAGAAAUGACGAAUUAGUCUCUUGAGAGACAUCAUAAAGAUCUCUUAAUUUAUUUACAACUGAAAUGAGCAAUUCUGAUUCUUGUUUUUUUCGAUGGAAAUGACGGAAUCAUUGCUGAUUUUAUAAUCCUUUCUCUGACAACUCUAUGAGAGCUAUGAAAUGAAAAAAAAAAAAAAACGGUUGGAUAUUAUGUUUGAAUAUGCUCUCUUUGUAUUUCUUAAAUAAUAAUCAAGGAAUUACACUUGUAGUUUAAAAAAUUGCUCAAGGAAGCUUAGCACGAUUUUAUAGAAAAAGGAAAAUUAUUCCUUAACUAGGUUAUUUUCUUUUUUGGUCAGAUAAUCCCUAACUAGAUUGCUCAGCAAACAAUGAGCAAAAAAAAAAAAGAAGAAUUUCCUCAUCCAACUUUGGUCCUUUCAUUAUUCUCUUCCAAUUUCAGAUUGAUAUGAUUUAGGAAUUAAUUAAUUUAAUUAUAUUCUUCGUUAACUAUAUGCUGAGUGAGAUAAUGUUGUAAUUAAUUAAAAUUGGUUAUUGAAAAUGACAUCUACAACCGUGAUACCCGAAGAAGAAGAUGGAAAGAAAAGUGGUAAAUUCGACUUGAACGUAAGGGCACUUUGGGAAUUUGAUAUUUCGACCACGCAAUUCUUGAUCCAGGCUUUCUUCUCAAUUUGAGGACGACGCUUUCUUGGCGGGGCCCACUCAUUUGAUUUAUCCCCCAAAUCUUCACUUUUAUUCCUAUAGGCCCUUCCAAACAUGGGUAUUUGAACUUCUCUCCCCCUUAAUUCUGUUUGACUCCUCAUUCUUUCCCCAAACUUUUUUGCCUUUCCAAACAUAGGCUCAGAUAUAUAGGGUAGAAGUGUUUCCAGAUUAACCCCUAUGUAUUUCUAGGAUUAGUCAUCACCACUAUCAGGUGUUUUUUGUUUUUUUUUUUUUUUUAUGUCGAGGAUUCAAUUUAGCUCACCUUACGGGAGUACAACGUCGACUAUACCUCGGGGGAGACUAACCCGACAACCCACCAGCCGGGGCCCCACGCUUAAGUCACGGAACUGCUUUGGGAGUUAUGGCGGACUUUGAGAGUCGAACCCUUGACCUAGCGGUCAGGAGAUUAGGCCUCAACCAACGCAACCAUGCGUGGGUGGCUUCCUAUCAGGUGUUUUUAUCCCGAUGUUUGUCAAUAAGUUACUUGAUAGCAAAAAAAAAUACAAAUAAUAAUAUGGACAAGUUUCCCCACUCGAUGCGUGAUGACUACGUUGUGCAGGGACCUCGCUUCUCGACAGUGGGAUUAUCGUCCCACGUUAGGAUUCUCCCUCUCAUUGAUGCCGGUUAUAACAUGGCACAAUUUUGAGGUUCGUGCUCUUGUUAGGUGCGUUGAUCCCGGCACCUUUCAUUAGGGUAUUUGGUCAAAUCUUAUAUAUGUGUUAAAAAAGAAUCUCUAAAAAGAAAUAGUUCAACUUGCCAAAGUGCCGAUGAGUUGUACACCAUCUUUCAAAGACUCCUAUUUGGUCAAAACUUUACUUUUAGAUUCUUCUGUUCUUAUGACCGUCGUAAUUUUAGUUUUUUGUUCAAUAUGAAACACCUCAAACGGUUUAACACAUAUAGAUAGUAAUAUGCAUAUUCGUACAUAAUUUCUACAUUUUUUCUAAGCCAUAACUACUCUCUUAAUUUUGGAGGCAAGAUUUGACUUUAUUUCUCCCAACUACAACCAAACAAGAUAACCUAUUAAAAGGAAUCUUGAGUAAUUCAACGUUUGAGCAGGAAAUAUUCAACAAAAUAAAAAUAAAAUCUACAAUUUGUUUCAAUCCAGCGCAUCAAUUGAUUUAAUCCCCCAAAGAGAAAGAAAAAAAAAUGUUCAGACAUAUAAAUAUUUGAGUCGUUCGUGACUUGACUUAAAGAAAGUCGUCGGUUGACUUGUUAAACUUUUUUUGCAAAGUGGUUUGUAUAUUUUAACGCGUUGAAGACUUUGCAGGGACAUAGUGGAGUCGUUGGCCUUUUUCUUUACAAGUUAUCUGGGACGAAAUCUAUUGGACAACGUGGAAGAAAAUAGAUCUAGAAUGUGUUGAGUCCAGUGCAUCUAGAGGAAAUAUCAGCAAUUUUAUAUUGAUUUAAGCCGAAAAGAAAAUAAUGAAAAAGGGGUUAGAAACGCCCUAGUCAUUUCUCUCACUUGACCUUACAAGCAUGUUUAAUGAAAUAAUCUUUAUAUGAAAUAAGAAAAAAGGCAAAUAAAGUGUGUCAAACUUAACGGCUUAGGGAAAGAAAAAGGUUGCUGGCCUUUUUUUCACUAGCUCAAGGGAUCUGUUAUAAAGUAAGGGUUGCCCCUAGAGCGGUCCAACUGUAUUGAUCCUGAUCUGGUUUUCAAGGGGAUUUAAUCGGUCCUUGGUUCUGAGAUCCUUGGGCUCUAUACUAUAUAGGUUGGUCUUUGGUUUUGGGAGUUUAGGGCUGGUCCAACUCAGAUCAACCUUAUAAAUAUUAUAUAUUUAAUAUGUUAUAUAUAAUAUUCUUUUACGUAUUCUAUAGUAUAAAGCCCUAACUUAAUGUUAAUCACAUUAACGAUCGGUUCAACCCGGAUCAUGCUUACCUCUAAUUAAUAAAAUGUGAAGUCAUGGUUUAUACUAAGCAUUUUGAACUUCUUAUGGUUUAAUUAUAUUCCAUUACUAAGUUUCACCUGGACUGUAGCCCAUAAUUCUCUUCUCUUAAACUUCCCAUCUCAUCCCAUUUCCCCAGCAGAAAAAAUUCAAAGACAAAUCAAAAGCAAGGGAAUUAUAGCAUGCUCCAGUGAUGGAAACACUUUAUUUCCAUAAGCAGCCUUGAUCGUUUUUAUGUUUUGUUAUUUUUAGUAAUUGUGAAAUUUCUAUUGUUAUUAUAUAACACUGAUUGAUUAAUGGUGCAUUGUUGAUAGAUAUGCAAUUUUAAAUAGUAGGCUUGUCUUUUUAGGGAAUACAAAAAGUAGAAAAAAAAAUUAUUGGUUGGUUCCGAAUUGACCUUAGAAUUGAAUCGGAUUGAUAGACUCAACAUGUCGGUUCUUGAUCCCAAAAUUGAGAACCAAUACUGUGUGAAUUGUUCUUUUGGUAGGUGUUGGAUUGAUCUAACUCGAAUCAUGCUCACCCAUAUAUAAAAGGAUAAUUCCUAAUCUACGACCUAAUUAACUCUAAAGUAUGUCCAAUACAAUACCAAUAUCCCAAAAAAUUUAUUCUUGGAAAAGAAGUCUUGGAUAUUAAUAUCACAGCGGCCAAACCUUUUGUGUCAUCAAAUACCAUUAAUCAUAAUAUUUUUUUGGGUCGCUAGAAUUCCUAAAUUAUAUCUAUUGUGAUGUUAAUGCCACAAAUUUUUGCAUACUUUAAAUGUUUGAGGUAUUGGUGACACAAAAAAUAAAAAAAUUCGAAGUAUUGAUGACAAAGUGGAUGAAGUUUUAAAGUAUGUUAAGAUAGGCAGAUAGUAUUUUAGCCAUGACAGUCCAAAAUUAGAGAUUUUGGCUGAAAAAAAAAAUAGGUUCGGGAUAUUUUUGUGUCAGAGCAGGGCAUGACUUAAAAGAUUUUUCGUGAUGUUUCCCCGUCAAAGUUACGAAUGAUUAGAAACAUAAGGACAAAUAUGCAAAUCUUUUAAGAAUAAAAAAUAAAAAAUAGAGGGGUAUUUUGGCAUCCCCAAGCACAGCACUCCAUCCCCGCAAGUCGAGCGGUGUAGCUGCAAACAAAAGAAAGAUAACCGGGGGAGCCGCACGCGCCAGGCGGCGGCGCGUCCGGAGGCGCAGUCAAGGGGGUGCAAACGGCCCGAACGUCGCGACGCGCGGCCGGGCCGGCGAGCUCGAAAAAUCUCGGACAACUCCGGGGGCCGGACGGGGGCCCCACCGAACUGAAGCUAGAGAGAGAGAGAGAGAGGGAGGGAGUCAGAGAAACGUAAGCGCGUUGUCAUUUGACUUGCGGCCAUUGCCUUGCUCUGUCCUCUUCUGUCUCUCUCUCUCUCUCUCUAUAUCUGUCUGUCUGUCGGUCUGUUUGUCUGUCUGUACCGUGCUGACCGCGGUUAUAUCGCAUCCUCUCCACGCUUGAGCAGGAAGAGAAAGAUGCCUCCUUCAUUAUCGAUCGAAUCCCCCGCACGGGAGAAAAAGAGAGGAGAAAAUAGAGAAAUGAGAAUAAAAAAAAAUGAAACUUUUACGAUUUAUUAUUAUUUAUUUAUUAUAAGUGAUUGGUUGGGGGUCUUCUUUUUGCGGAACGAAAAGCAAAAAGCUGAGAAAGCCCCGGCCGACCCACCUCCCACGUCGGCGAUGCGAAAGUGGUGCUUGGGAUUUGACUCCUUACAUCAAUGUCGCCACCCGUUUUGGUUGACGGCUAUUAAGUGAAUUAGUGUUGCAAUUUCCAUCCCUCCGCUUGGGUUGCCCAUGAUCCCUUCUUCUUGCCCUAGCGUCGCGGUGAUAUGGCGCUCGGCCUAUUCCUUCCUGAGCGCCGCCGAUCCGCCUGUUGCCACAUGCCCCGAUGACUAUUGGAACGCGUAGAUUGAUGUCAUGACAGAUAGACCAUAUUGAGGCUCACGAUUUUAUCAUUUGACAUAGAAGUAGAAAUAUUCUCAAAAAGUUAGCCAUCCUGAUAGUGCUUCUAUUUAAACAUGCUUAAUGUUAUAAUUCCAAGAGUAAAAUUUAAAUGAGUGUUCAAAUGUUAAAUUUAUUGUCAUGUCAAAAGAUGUCUCUUGUAAGUUAAUUUUAGUAUCUCACACACAUCGCAAAGAACACUAUUUCCCUUUUGAUGAGUAAUUCAAUUCAUUCUCACUCAUGUCAUCGUCUUAGAAACUUGCAAGGAGCUGCUUCUUUUCAAGAUCCUUUGGCCUCAAUAAGCACUCUCUACCCUUAUACAAAUAUUCUCAAGCAAGGUUCCCGUCUAAAUCGAGCUUAAUCCAGAUCCUUUUAGCCCCAACGAGCACUCCUGCCCUUAUCGGAAUAGGUUGUUACUGAUAUUAUGGAGUGUGGCUCCUCUAUAAGCCGAGUCUCUAAGCUAGAGAAUUGCAGACUAUUCUAUGCUAAGUUUUGAUCUUGUGACCUCAUAAAAGAGGCAACGUGCAUCUUCUCCAUUGAACUAACACGCUCGGUGGUUUGAUCCAUCAGCUCUAUUCUAUUAUAUCAAAUGUGGCACUUGUCUAUUGACUUGCAAUUACGGAAUUCUUUAUAUUGUACAACGCCGGUCUAUUCAAUGCCUAGUAGGAGAAAAAUAUCUGAAGAGUACGAGAUAAUGGCUUGACCAAUAGAGAAGAGAUUCAGAUGCCUUCUCCCCCGACUAAGCACUGCCCUCGUCGGCACAAGCACAUCGCUCCAAAUCCGCCACUAAGACAACAAAUGACCCGUUACAUCAACCCUUACAAAAUAUCAAGGAUUCAGCUUGUUGCCAUCACGAAAAUGUACACAUUUUUCUUUCCCUUUUCGAUGGAAUGGAAUGGUGGGAUGUUGUUUACUUUUCUUGCAAAUUGAUGGUCAUCCAUAAACAUUAUAUCUAUAUUUUCAUUAUAUUGUGAAUUUACUAUCACAUCAUCUACGAUCUUACUUUAAUUUAUGGAAAAUUGAGCUAGAUGUCGCUAGUGUGCUUUAUUAAUGUUUUGUAUUGGAAGACUUUCUGGGAGUCUCAAAUUGGGAAGUCGUUAAAAACGGGAAAUUACUCACUAUUGAUUCAAAGACCAAUCGCUAUUUGAAAAAAAGAUAAUUCAAGUUCACUAGAGAAAUGCAUGGAGAGAGCUCAUAGGACAUGUUGGUUCUAGUAAAUACAAAUUGAAAGAGUCAAGAUCUCGAGAGUAUUAAAUUCCCACCACAUGAUAGUAGGGAGAUUAAACUCUAGCUCUUUCACGAGAUGCACAACAGCUAAUGCCCCCUAUGUGAAUUUCAUUUUCUUUUAGAAGUAAAUCCAAGUGUUGAGAGGUUUUUUGAGAAAAAGAAAAAAAAAGAAAAGAAAGUAUAUCCCACUUUCGACCGGUCCGUGCGACUGUUAGGGACUGCGGGGGGAUUAGGCUAGGGGGUGGCUGCCAACCGGCGAUGGGACAAGAGAGAGAUGCGGGACGAGGGAGAAGUUCGGGCUAGUGUUUGCAAGUCGUUUUGCAGGGCAACGGUUGCUUGGGAAGGAAAAAAAAUGACGAUUUGUGUACAUAUGCGAGGUUGUCGGGCGGCGAGUUGAUACGAAGCGACGAAACUCAAGAUGUAAAUUGCAAGUUUCAAGCGUCGACAUAAUAUUCAAUCUGUAUAGAUGACUUUCUUGCAACUAUUCCUGCAAUCCCAUCUCAGGAUUUUUUAUGGAGGAGUGGCUUUGAAGCUAGGCCUUCUUCUCUAAUCAAAUCUAUUUCUUCACAGGAUAAUCCCGACAAUUAAAGCAAGUUGAGGCUUGGCAGGAACAUCAAUUAGGACCAGAAAACUUUCAAGUGAUGUAACGUGAUGACAUUGAUGUGAUCCUAUUAGGCAUAAUUAUCGUGUUUGUUCCUUAAUUUGGAUUAAUUAUGCCAGGCUGACGUGAGAAUUGUGUUGAUUUUUUCGCCAUAGAUGGGCUGACGUUGCUGUGCUUUGCCUCGGCAUCUUUUCCACCUCUUUUCCUACAUCUUUUAUCUAGGGUUGGCAAAUGGAUUUGACCUAGUAUGACCCGCCGGUUCAAUUAAUGGGCCAUGCUGGCCGAUCCAUUUUGACUGGAUCUGAUCUCUUUCGUGCCACGCAACCUCGUUAGCUGAAGCGGGGCAACCAUGCUUGUGCCCGAGCCGGUUAGAAAGACAAAAAAAAAUGGGAAUUUUGUCCAGAAUCAAUCGGAAAAGUCCCCCGAUGACUGAGUAUCACGAUCUUGGAUUAACUCCCAAUAAUAGAUGGGUUUCGUGAUGCCAUGAGUUCGAGCCAUACCAUGAAUGAACUUCUAGCCCGCACACGCGUGCUAGAAGAGACAUUUACCAGCUCAUGUGAAGACAAAUUAUGAAUUAUGCACAUUGGUGAAACUACAAUAUAAAUGAUCGUAUGAUUAUGAGUAGGCUAACUAAUUAUUUCUCAAAUCGAACCUUCCGCAACUGAUAUAAGAUCCGCAUGGUAACACCUAGUCUAGGUAGCUGCAUUGGUCAUUCCUUCGCAUUCCUUAAUAAAAGAGAAGAAUCUCCAUCAUGACUAAUAGUCGAUCGUCCUUGUUCUAACAAUCACAUUGUGGAGGUUUGAUUGCCGUCCUUGGUCGAUCUUAGGGGAAAGCCAUGAGUAGGUGGUUGUAUAUCAUGGAUCGAAAUGAAAUCCCAAUUAAUUCGAAAUAUUCAUAGGAAAUUUGGGUAGAAAAAGCAACGAACAAUAAAAGCAUGGAGGGUUGAAAUCGAAAGAAGUGGCCGCAAUGCUUAAAGCUCAAGGGCUCUAAACAAGCUUUCCAAAUAAUACUUUUAGUCCUUAAAACUUAUUUUGUUCAAGUAAUUUUAUGUUAUUACUUUUUUUUUCUAUAAUUGCAUGUUUUAAUGUUGAAAUGAGAUUAACGAGAAAUUUUUGAAAAGAGAUUGAAAUUCCGAACCUAAGCCCAAAUCGGCCCGGACUAGACCGAAUUACAUCAAUCCAAGACCAAUUAUUCUCCAUUCGGGGAGGACCAAAUGCCUGUCUCGUCCGUAAUUUCCUCCUUGAAAGUUUUGGCGACUAUCCAGAUCUCUAUACUACUCCACACGUCGAAAUAUUAAAUUUGGGUCAAGAAACUUUUCAAAGCUAACACCAAUCCAAUGAAUAAAAUCACAAGAAGUCCCACAAAAAAAAAAAAAAAGUGUUUUUUCUGCUGGGACGGAAGUGCGUUCAUUUAAAUGCUUUUGACUGUGGUUGGCUGGUCCGCUUUGAAGAUCGAAUUUAUGUUCCCAUCGUCCUUCAGCGGAUCUCCUUUUGCUGAACGGUUAUGAUUUCUUUAUUUCGAUCCAACAGUGAAAAGUCAAAAAGACGCGAGCACUAUAAAGCGCGAAUAAUAACUAUUUUGUCCCGAAAAUAAAUUCUGACUAGACAUUUAUAUUUUUAUUCUUUGAACAAAUUUCUUAGUAGAGGUACAUAAUUUCUAUUUUUGAAACAUAGAUUUGUUUGAUAGGCCUUCUUAAAUAUCUCCCUCCAACAGCAAUGGCCGACGGGGGUAGAGAGAGGUGGGUGUAGGCAGCAAGGGUCUAGCAACGAGAAUAUUUUUUAUUUUUACUUCAAUUCCAAAGAUAAAAAGGUAGAAAAUUUUUACUUGUCAUUUUUUCAAACUUAACACAGGGCUAAUUUUUUUUUUCCGAAAAAUAUAAUAAUGAAAUUGCGUUACUAAACAAAUUUCUAUUCCAAACAUAUUUUCAAAAAUAGAAAAAUAAAGAAAUAAAGAAACGUAAUAGUUAUCAUUUACACCCCUUAGGACUGGACUUCCCUUUUGUACAAGGUUGGGACUAUGAAUGAUUACGAUGGAUCCGAUCUAUUAUAAAUCGAAUUUAGAUAAGUAUAUUUCUUUUCAUAAAUAGUAUUGAUAAACAAAGCUUUGUGUGACAACCUUAGGUUUUUACAACCAUACUAGCUGUUCAAAAUGAACUUUUACUGCUCAUUACCAAACAAUAAAUGAAUAUAUAGCUUUAGUAGCAGUCUAGAUAAUAAUAAAAUUGUUCUUUCUAAAGUUAGAUUCAAAACUUCUUGAUUACCAGAUUUAAGUUCAACUUUUCCCACGCUAGAUCAAAAUCUUCGACAUCGUUUCCCCCCUUCACUUAUUUAAUAAGUCAAAGAUUAGUAGUGCCUUUUUUUUUUGUGUGGCUAAAACAAACCUUCCAUUGCAUCAAAAUAAUUCAAAUAUUACAAGGAUAAACUAAAGCAUAAAUUAAGAUGAUAAAUUAAAGAAGACUCCUCACCCUAAAUUUUUAACUCUAGAUGGGAGAUCAUUAUAAACGAAAGAAGAUGUAGUUACUAACCGAUGAAAAGCCCAUUUUUCAAGCUCAUGAGUAGCUCCAAUACUAGUUCUAUCGAUCCACUUCAAACUCCAUCCUGGGUUGUUGCUAAUUUGUAAAUGGGAGUCUGAGACGAAAGGAUGAAUAUACCAAGGGCAAAUGCCCUUUUUUUUAAUAGCAUUAAUUAACACCUUACAACCACUUUCAAACACCACCUUGUGGAUGUCGAGGGACUGAGUAGCUUUGCAUGAGAGAAGAAGAGAUGUAGCUUCCACUUCUACUGGUGAGUUCCAUCUUCCUUGUCUUGUCCACACUUGGACAGUUGAGCCUUGAGCCGAUCAUGCAAUAAUACCUAUGCCCCCUUUAUUAUCUUUCCACGUGACAUCUACAUUAAAUUUCAAUUUUUCAUUUGACGGAGAAAUCCAAGAGUUUGUCCUUACCCCAAAAGAAUCCAAUUCCUUGCUUAACUUAACUUUGUUCUCUCUCUCUUGAACAUAUUUGAAUAUUCCAAGAGAUCUUGUAUGACCAUCUGAAUUGCUUGGGGAGGAACUGGAGUUGUAUGCUCACAUAACUUUGUAUUCCUAUAACGCCACAUUCUAGUGCAGAGAAUUGCUGCAUAAAGGGCGAAGAGAUUGCAGUCCAAUCCCAUUCUAUGUGCUAUUUGAUCACCAUCUCUUCAGACUUGAAGUUCCAAGCAGACGAGAUAACAUGUGUGUUUGGUUCAGCAUUCUUAAUGGGCUUUCAGCCUUCAAAGCCCCUUGAAGAAAUGUUGGACUGUUUGAUAUGAAGUAACUUUCAAGUGAAAGUUUGCAUUGAGAAGGCUGAAAACCCAAUGCCAAUAGGGACUAGCUUUGAGCUUUUAGCAUUUGGCCAAAUGCUGAAACUUACUAUUUUUUUUUCCCAAAACUAUCAUCAUUUAUUCUUCAAAUUUCUAAUUUUACCAUCGUUAUUUUUUUAAAUGCCAAAAUAAUGCUAGAAAAAUCAAAAUUAUAUAAAUACUAAAAAAAUAAAUAUAUUUUGAUCUUUUAAAAAAUAUAUAUUUAUAUAUUUGAUUUUUUUAGCAUUAUUGUCAAAAUUUAUAUGUAAAAAGUUACAUAAAUUAUUAUUUUUUCAAUUUUAAACCUAUAAAAAUUAAAAAAUUCGGACGAAGAGUUUGGUCCUUUUAAAAUAUAUAUAUAUAUAUAUAUAUAUAUAUAUAUAUAUAUAUGUGCAUUUGAUUUUUUAGCAUUAUUUUCAAUUUUAUAUUUAAAAAGUUGCACACAUUAUUUUUUCAAUUUUAAACAAAUAAAAAUUAAAAGAUUCCGACAAAGAGUUUGGUCUUUUUUUUUUUAAAUUACAUAUAUGUUUUUGAUUUUUUUAGCAUUAUUGUCAAAAUUUAUAUUUAAAAAGUUGCAUACAUUUUUUUUUCAAUUUUAAACAAAUAAAAAUUUAAAAAAUUCAAUGAAGGGUUUGGUGUUUUUUAAAAAAAAAAUUAUAUAUGUAUUUGAUUUUUUUAGUAUUGUUGUUAAAAUUUAUAUUUAAAAAGUUGUAUACAUUAUUUUUUUUUUCAAUUUUAAACAAAUGAAAUUAAAAAAAAUUAAUAUUAAUCACGUAAAGAGCUUUUCAAAUGUGUUUUCUACCAAACGACAUUUCUCUCAAAAUUGCUUUUCAAAGCAAAGUUUACCAAACGGUAUUUAUAUUUGCCUAAAGUCUUUUAGGCUAAAUUGCUUUACAUUUUCCCAAUAAGCUUUCAAAAUGCUGAAUCAAACGCACCCAACAUCCUAUGGGCUCCAUAAAAUUUGGGCUAGAGGACAUGAUGUAAAAAUGUACCGAAUUCUCCUUCGAAGCUCUACACAACACGCAAGAAGGGUUUGGGACAUCGAUCAAUCGAAACAAGUUAGCUCGACAAGGUAAGACAUCAACCGCUAUCCUCCACAAUAUCAUUUUCAUGAGCUCUAGCUUUCUAGAUUUUGUUCCAAAUCAUGUGGUUGUUGCCAUUUUCAGUUCGCAACUUUAUGAGAAUGUAAGCAGAUUUAAAAGAAAAUAUUCCAUUAAUAGCAAAAUGCCAAAUGGGUUUGUCCACGCAAAUGGAGUUUGGCACAUGGAUAUGAAGAAUGGCUUGAACUGAGGUUGGGUAAAAAGUCUGAUUUAGACUUAAUAUAUCCCAAGUUUUUGUCCUUGGGAUAAAGAAGCUUUCUAUUUUUCUUUGCUUCAAGACAGGGUCUAGAUCAAUAAAAGAAAGUAGAUGAGAUUAAACAUUAAGAAUCCAAAGGGUGAUUUCCUACCUUGAUUGAUUUUCCAUCUCUUGUUUGAUAAAAAGUUCCCAAUUUGAGUAUUUCUGGCAGCCAAGAUCGCCUUCCACAAAGGAGAGGCUGAUGCCUCGACCUCAUGAUUCCAAAAAUUGGAGCUCCAGAAAUACUUCCCUUCAAGAACUCGAACUCAUAGGUUGCCUCUAUCUUGGAUCAUUACCUAGCUGAGUUUCACAAGCAAAGCGUUGUUGAAAUCCCUAUUCUGCCGAAAACCCAUUCCUCCACUCUUUUAGUUUCUACAUAGUGAAUCCCGACAUUUAAGUGUGAAGUGUACGUUUUUCUCUAUUGGCACACUCCGCCAAAAUUUUCUUGUAGAGGCGUCAAGUCUAUCACAGGUGCUACAAGGUAGUCGACCAAAUUGCAUAGCAUAGAUUAGUGUGCUCUGAACAACUGAUUGAAUAUAUAUUACUCUAUCCACCCAAGAUAGUGUCUUCCUUUUUCAGGAGCUAAGUUUGUUAUCAACCUUCUGUUCAAGGAAUUAAUAUUUUGCCCUACCUUUCCUUGGUUGAAGAAGGGAUCCCCAAGGUACAGCGCUUCAAGAUCUGUCUUUCGCCUGUGGAGCUCAUCCAUACAAAACUUUUUCACGGCCACAGAAGUAUUUUUUUAAAUAUUUUUAUAUAAAAAAAAAAAAAAAGACAGACAGCUUCUGAUGAUUCAACCUUUGACCUGACCAUGAGCAAUAAAUUUCAAUGCAUCCUUUCAGUCCUCUCACUCGAUGCUCAGUGGCUUCGACAAAUAACAAGAAGUCAUCGGCAUACAUAAGGUGAGUUAAAGGCUGACUCUCUUGCCUUACUCUUAUACUUGCAAUAAUCUUCAAAUCCUCUGCUCUAGAUAGAAUUCUAGAAAGAAGUUCAGUAUAAAUUACAAACGGAUGUGACGAGAUAGGGUCAUCUUGUCGGUGUCCCUUUUGAGGUUUAAAACUUCCCACAGGUCUACCAUUGAUCAGAAGAGAAUAAUGAACAACGAAAUAUGUAUUUUUAUGAGCUUACAAAAAAGGACGAAGAACCCCAGGCUACGAAGGAUUGCAUAAGUAUAUUCCAGUCAACUCUAUCAUAAGCUUGUAACAUAUCCACCCUGACUCCCAUGAAUGGACGCCCCAUUCUUUUCUUUCUCAUGGAGUGUACAAUUUCCUGUGCAAUCACAGAAUUUUCUUGUAUGCUUCUACCUGAAACAAAAGCCAAUUGCCGAGGUGAGAUAAUAUGACUGAGGAACCCAUUCAGUCUAUUUGCCGACAUCUUAGAGAUAAGUUUAUAGCUCACAUUGCAUAGACUUGUGGGCCAAGACUGGUUAUAGGUGUGUGCAUUCUGAGUUUUCGGGAUGAGUACUAUAAAAGUAUGACUGGGAAGAUGGGGCAAUUGACUAGCGUUAAAGAAGUGCUGCACAUAUUGUACAAUUUCGUCCUUCACCACUUCCCAGCAUUUCGCGUAGAAAAUGGCAUGGAAUCUGUUUGGGCCAGGUGAUUUAAGAGGGGGCCAUCUCUUUCCUGACGUCGGUGAUACAUUUAAUCGGUUCCUUUGACUUUUGUAUACCACAACCGCAUCCAAGGAUUUGACCAUUAAAAUUCAAUGGCCAUUUUUAAGAGGUUGGUGAGCAUCCAAGAAUAGGACCUAUGUGUGUAAAGCACAAUAAAAUGCAUCGAGAAAUGACACUCUAGAAAUGAUGACCUGGUCUUUCAAGAGAUCAUAAAGAAUUCUUAAUUUAUUCGUGAUUGAAACGAGCAUUCUGAUUCUUGUUUCGAUUGAAAUGACGGAAUAAUUGCUAAAUAUACAAUCCUUUAUUUGACAAAUUUAUGAGAGCUAUGAAAUGAAAUGGAAAUUGUUGGGUACUAUGUUUGAAAAUCCUCUUUUGUAUAUAUCUUAAAUUGUAAUUGAGGAGUUACGCUAGUAGUUUAAAAGAUGCUGAAGGAACCUUAACACGAUUUUAUAGGGGUAAGAAAAAAGAAAAGAAGAAUAUUAGUCCUUAACUGGAUUGCUCGACAAAUAAUGAGACUCCCCUAGAAAAAGAGAAUUUCCACAUUUAACAAUGGUCCUUUCAUUAUUCUCUUCUAUUUUGAAAUUAAUUUGAUUUAGGAAUUUAUUAAUUUAAUUUUAUUCUUUGUUAACUAUAUGCUGAGUGAGAUAAUGUUAUAUUUAAUUAACUUGGUCAUAGAAAAAUGAAAUUCAUGACCGUGAUACCUGAAGAAGAAAAAGAAGAGGCAAAGAGAAGAGGUAAAUUCGACUUGAACGCAAGGGCACUUUGGGAAUUUUCUUGUCGGCCGCGCAACUCUUGAUAGGUGCUUUCUUCUCAAUUUGAGGGCGACGGCUUCUUGGUGGGCCCCACUCGUUUUAUUCACCCCCAUCACCCCCGACUAUUCCGUGAUUCAAUUGAGAUUAGAGAAUAUUAUCAUCAUUCGAGACUUCAAGUGAUAAGUGUGAUAGGACAAGUCCAUCUUGAAGUGUUUUGACGUAUGACAAACGUUAUCCAUCAAGUCUAAUCUGAANNNNNNNNNNNNNNNNNNNNNNNNNNNNNNNNNNNNNNNNNNNNNNNNNNNNNNNNNNNNNNNNNNNNNNNNNNNNNNNNNNNNNNNNNNNNNNNNNNNNUCCCUAUUUAUCAUAUUGUUUCAAAUGCAGUAGGGGAGUCAGUCUCAGCUCAAACAGUCAACAUGAAGACCAAGUGGCGGUUGAGGUCGUGCAAUACAGUUAGAUGGAAAGUGUAUUUAGUGAUCUCUCAGUGCUCAUCAAAGAUGCUGUUUUCAUAAGCAGAGAGAUUUUGGUCGUUGCGAAAGCAGUCUCGAGAGUAUUGAUUUUUUCACAAAGAAUAAUGACAAUUGAUCAACAUGAACAGUAGUGGUACGAGGAGAAGUAGGCCAAUGGGGGGAAAAUUUGCUCUCGAUUAAUCCUCCAGAAUAAAAACAUGAAUAGUGUAUCCCGCACCUGCAAUUUUGAACUAGGAGGACUUGGGGUAUGGUAAACAGUCACAUACCCUCUGGGGGUGUUUGGCCUUUUUCUUGCCAUCCGGAACAUCAUAAAUCCCUUGAAAAUUAGUAAUAAUGGGAUGGUCAUUAACGGGUGGCCCCCCUUUUUUUUUUCCCCCCCCCCCCCCCCCCCCCCCCCCCAAAAUCUUAACUUAUCUUUCCUAGAUGCCCUUCCAAACAUGGGUAUUUGAACUUCUUUCCCCCCUAAUUCUCUUUCACUCCUCAUUCUUUCCCCAAACUUUUUUGCCUUUCCCAACAUAGGCUUAGAAAUCCAAAAAAAAGAAAAAAUAGGCUUAAUCAACACCUUGUCUGGUGUUUUUAUCCCAGCGUUUGUCAGUAAAGACAAAAUGUACAAGUUCCCCCUCGAGAUGCGUGAUGACUUCGCUGUGCAAAAACCUUGCUUCCUAAAUGGUCCCACAUUAGGAUUGUCCCUCCUUCUGACGCUGAUUAUAACGGAACACAGUUAUAAAAUUUGUUCAAACUCAUGUUUGGUGCUUUAAUCCCAAUACCUAUUAUUAGUUACUUGGUCAAAUCUUAUAUGUGUGAAAAAUAAUUUCGAACAAAAGAGUCCAACUUGUUGAUGCAUCGAUGAGUUGUACACCAUCUUUCAAAGAUUUGUUUGAUCAAAACUUUAUUUUUAGAUUAUUCUUUUAUAAUAAUUGUCGUAAUUUUAGUUUUCGGUUGAAUAUGAAAUGCCUCAAACGGUUUAACACAUAUAAAUACUCAUAUGCAUAUUCAUAUGUAAUUUCUACACAAUUUUUCAGACAUAAUUACUCUCUCUGACUCCCCCCCCCCCCCCCCCCCCCUCCCAAAAAAAAGGCAACCGAACAAGAUAACCUAAGAGAAUCUUGAGUAAUUCAUCGAAAAAAAAUGUUCGGCCUACAUAAAUAUAUGAGUCUUUCGUGACUUGACUUAAAGAAAGUCGUCGGUUGACUUGUUACACUUUUUUGGCGAAGUGGUUUGUAUAUUUUUAAAGGGUCAAAAACUUUCACAAGACAGAUGAAAGUGGGGAGUCGUUGGCCUUCCUUUCUUUAGGAGUUAUCUGGGAAGAAAUCUACUGGACAUAACGGAGAAAUUAGAUCUAGAAUGUGUUAAACCUGGUGCAUCUAGAGGAAAUAUAAGCAAUUUCAUAUUGAUUUGAGCCAAAAAAAAAAAUAAAAUGAAAAGGGGGUUAGAUACAACCCACUCAUUCUCUCACUCGACCUUACAAGCAUGUUUUUUUUUGGUCAGUAACCUUACAAGCAUGUUUAAUAAAAUAUUUUUUUAUGAAAUGAGAAAGAAGCAAAUAAAGUAGGUCAAACUUAACGGCUUAGGGAAAGAAAAAAGGUUAUUGGCCUUUUUUCACUUGGCUCUGGGGAUCUAUUAUAAAAGGAUUGGUACCACUCAAAAUCCUAACCUACUGCCUAAUUUUUUUUUUGGUCCAAAAAACCUACAAAUUAUCUUUACCAAAAAAAAAAAAAAUUAUGUUCACUACAAUAUCCACAAAAAUUUUCACAACAUAUAUGCUUGGGGUGUUGGCAAUACGAAAAAAAAUGUUUUGGAUAUUGAUAUCAUAGUGGCCAAACCUUUUUGCGUCAUCAAAUACCCUUAAUCAUAAGUUUUUGUGUUACUUGAAUACUUAUAUUCAUCGUGACCUUAAUGCCACAAAUUAUUGCACACUCUACAUGUUUGGGAUAUUGGCAACACAAAAAGAAAAAUUCGAGACAUUGGUGAUAAAGUGGCUGAAGUUUUAAAGUAUUUUGAGGUCGAUAGAUGUUAUUUUAGCUAUAAUGGUACAAAAUUAGAGGUCUUGGCUGCAUGAAAGAAAGGUUCGGGAUAUUUUCAUGUCUAAGCAAGGUAUGACUUAAAAGAUUUUCCAUGAUAUUUCCCGGUCAAAGUUACGAAUGAUUGGAAACACCGAGGACAAAUAUGCAAAUCUUAAAGGAGAAAAAAGGGCAGAGCGGUAUUUUGGCAUCCCCAAGUACAACCCUUUUGUCCGAAAAAAAAAAAAGUACAACCCUCCAUCCACGCAAGUCGUGCGGUACAGCUGCAGACAAAAGAGAGAUAACCGGGGGAGGCGCACGCGCCAGGCGGCGGCGCGUGGGCAGCGGAGCCCCGGGGGGGCAAACCGCCAGAGCAUCUCGACGCGCUGGCGGGCCGGCGAGUUCGAAAUGUCGGACAACUUGGGGGCGCACGUGGGGUCCCACCGAAUCGAACCGAAUCGAACCGGGAGAGAGGGGGAGUCAAAGAAACGUACGCGGGUCGUCAUUUGACUUGCGGCCAUUGCCUUGCGCUGUCCUCUUCUGCCCCUCUCUCUGUAUCUGUCUGUCUGUCUGUCUGUCUGUCUGUACUGUGCUGACCGUGGUUGCAUCGCAUCCUCUCCACGCCUGAGCCGGAAGAGAAAGAUGCCGCCUUCAUUAUUGAUCGAAUCCCCCGCGCGAGGGAAAGAGAGGGAGAGGAGAAAAUAGAGAAGUGAGAAUAAAAGAUGAAACUUUUAUUAUUUAUUAAAUAGGGAUUGGUUGGGGGUUUUUUUGCGGAACGAAAAGCAGAAAGCUGAGAAAGCCCCCCCACACAGCCGGCCGCCCCACCUCCCACGUUGGUGAUGCGAAGGUGGUGGGGUUGGGGGGUUUGACUCCUCACGUCAAUGUCGCCACCCGCUUUGAUUGACGGCUAUUAAGGGAAUUCGUGUUCCAAUUUGCAUCCUUUCUCUUAGGGGUUGCUCACGAUUGCCUGUACUUGCCCUAGCACCAGGAUGAUUUGCCAGACCUUUCUCUUUUUUGGCGCCCGGCUGAUCUUUACUGGAUGUCGUGACUCCGCCCGUCAUCACAUCCCCUGAUGAUCAUUGGAACGCACAUAUAAAUUCUGUGAUAUCCUUAGAUUAACAUAUUCGAAGUAUAGUUUGCUUUGAUUAAUUUGCAAAGUAUUACUCGCCUUGACCAAUCUUAUACCAAGUUUCGUGAUUUUAUCAUUUGACAUAUAGGUAGGUAUAUUCUCAAGAUGUCAUCCAUUCUAAUAGUGCUUCUACUAGAAUAGGAAUUCCAUGCUAAAUUUGCCAUCACAUCAAAAGAUACCUCUCAUGAAUUAAUUUUAGUUUCACACGCACACAUAUAUCUUUGGAAAACUUUUACCCUAUCAAAAUGCAAUUCGGUUCAUUCCCAACCCCACUUUGCCAUUUUAGAAAUUUCCUAAGAGUCGUUCCUUGUCUAGAUCCUCCGAUUCCCAUGGGCACUCCCCACCCUCAUUGAACUAAGUCGUUAUGGAUUUCUCAAGUGUGGCUUCUACCUAAGUCAAGCUUAAUCCAGACCUUUUGGAUCCAAUGAGUACUCAACGCCCUCAUCGAAUAUAUAUUCUCGAGUGUGGCUCCUGCCUAAGCCAAGCUUAAUCUAGACCCUUUGGCCCUUGCAAGCAUUCCAAGCCCUCGUCAAACCAGGUCAUUAUAGAUAUUCUUGAGCGUAACUCCUACCUAAAUCAAGACUUUAAGCUAGAGAGAACUGCAAGCUAGUCCACACUAAGGUUCAAUCUCGGGACCUCAUAAAAAGGCAGCACUAAUCUUCUCUGCCGAACGGUGAAAAAAAUCUUCUCUGCCGAACUAACACGCUUGGCGGUUCAAUCCAUCAACUCUAUUCUAUUAUGUUAGAUGGGGGACUUGUCUAUUGACUUGCAAUUGCGGAAUUCUUUAUAUCAUAGAGCGGCCUUUUAUUCCAUGUCUAGUAGGAGAAAAAUAUUUGAACAGUAGGAGGCAAUGCUUUGACCAAUAGACGGGAGAUUCAGAUGCCUUCUCCCCCCACUAAGCACUGCCCUUGUCGGCACUAGCACGUCACUCCAAAUCCGCCAUUAAGACAACAAAUGACCCGUUACAUCAACCCUUACAAAAUAUCAAGGAUUCAGCUCGUUGCCAUCACGAAAAUUUAUGUAAUUUUCUUUCGCUUUUCAGUGAAAUGGAAUGGUGGGUUAUCGUUUACUUUUCUUGCAAAUUGAUGAUCAUCCAUGAAAUAUUAUAUGUUUAUCUUUACUAUAUUAUGAAUUUACUGGGGCAUCGUCUACCGUCUUACUUUAGUUUAUAGAAAAGUAGGCCAUACAUUGCCGGUGUGCUUUAUUAAUGUUUCGAUUCAUAAGACUUUUUGGAAGGCUCGAAUCGUGAAAUAAUCCAAAAACAGGAAAUAGUCACCACUAAUUCAAAUACCAACUGCUAUAUAAAAAAAGAUAAUUCAAAUUCACUUAUGAAAUAUAUAGAGAGAAUUUGUAGGGCGCGUUGGUUCUAGUGUAUACAUAGCGAAAGAGUCAAGAUCUCAAGAGCGUUAAAUUCCCACCACGUGAUAGGAGGGAGACCGAACUCUGGCUCUUUCGUGAGAUGUGCAAAAGCUAAUGCCCCGCUGUGUGAGGGAAAAGUACAAAAAAAAGUCAUAAAUUAUUAGAUUAGUAUCGAUUCAAUUUUAAACAUUUCAAUUAAACUAAUUUAAUCAUAAAUAUUUUCACAUUGGUACUAAUUCAGUCCGACUGACGCUGACGUUGCAAUUUUUUCAAUUUUUUUUAUUAAUUCUAUUUCUUUUCUUUUUCCUUUUCUUUUCUCUCUUCCCGGGAACUUUUCGUAGUGGCCAGCAAGGCUUGCCAAGCCAUUGGGUGAGGGUUGCAACCCACCCCGGAGGCUCGCUGGCCACUAUAAGGAAAGUCCAAGGGGGAGGAGAGAAAAUAAAGGAAAAAAGAAAAAGAAAAAGAAAAAAAAAAGAAAAAAAUUAAUAAAAAAUUUGGAAAAAAUAAAAAUCAUUUAAAAAUUGCCAAGUCAGCGUUCGACCACCAGCCGGCAUCUACGUUAGCAUCAGCUGACCAAAAUUGGUUAUAUGGAUUGAAUUGGUAUCAAUGUGAAAAUAUUUGAGACUAAAUUAAUUUGAAAAAUUUAUGAUUGAAUUGAUAUCAAUACGAUAGAUUUAAGACUUUUUUGGUACUUUUCUCCUAUGUGAAUUUUUUUUUUUAAGAAGUAAAUCAUAGUGUCAAGUAGCUUUUAGAGAAAAAAGAAGAAGGUAUACCCCACUUCUGACUGGUCCAUUCGAUUGUUAGGAACCGCGGAGGGGCUUAGGCUGGCGGUGGCUGCCAAUCGGUGACGGGAUAGGAGAGAGAUGCCGGACGAACGAGAUGUCUGGAUUAGGGUUUGUGGGUUGUUUUGCGGGGCGAUGGUAGCUUGUGGAGAAAAGAACAACGAUUUGUGUACUUGUGUGGGUUAUCAAGCAGCGAGUCGAUACCAAUCGGCGAUCCUCAAGUUGUAUGUUGUAAGUUUCAAGCGUUGAGAGAGUAUUCAAUUCGCACGUGGCCGCAAACAAGAGGUGACUUUCUUGCGACUAUUCCUGAAUCCCAUCUCAAGAUUGUUGAUGGAGGAGUGGCUUUGAAGCCAGGCCUUCUCCUCCAAUCAAAUCUAUUUCUUCAAAGGAUAAUCCCGACAAUUAACGCAAGUUGAGGCUUGGGAGGAACAUCGAUUAGGACCAGAAAACUUUCAAAUGAUGUGACGUGAUCACAUCGAUAUGAUCCUAUUAGGCAUAAUUAUUGCGUUCGUUCCUUAAUUUGCAUUAAUUUAUGCUAGGCUGACGCAAGAAUUGUGUUGAUUUUUUCGACAUUAAUGGGCUAACGUUGCUGAGCUUUGCCUCGGCAUCCUUUCCAUCGCUUUUCUUACAUCUUUUAUCUAGGGAUGGCAAAUGAAUUUGGCCUAGCAUGACCCGCUGGUUCAAUUAACGGGUCAUGCUGGCCGAUCCAUUUUGAUUGGAUCUGAUCUCCUUUGCGCCACGCUGCUCCGUUAACAGAAGUAGGGCAGCCAUGCUUGUGCCCGAGCUGGUUAGAAAGACAAAAAAAUUGGGAAUUUUGUCCAGAAUUGAUUGGAAAAGUCCCAAGAUGAAUGAGUAUUACAAUCUUGGACUAACUCCCGGUAAUAGAUAAACUUCAUGACGCCACAAGUUUGAGCCAUAUCGUGAAUGAACUUCUAGCUCCCAUGCGCUGGCUAGAAGAGACAUUUGCCAGCUCAUGUGAAGAGACAUUAUGGAUUUUGCACAUUGGUAGAACUACAAUAAGAAGGAUCGUAUGAUUAUGGGUAGGCUAACUAACUAUAACUUAAAUCAAACCUUCCGUAAUUGGUACAGGAUCCUCAUGAUAAUGCCUAGUCUAGGUAGCUACAUUGGUCAUUCAUUCCCACUUUUUAACAAAAGAGAAGAACUUCUCCAUCAGGACUAAUAGUCGAUCGUGGUGGGGUUUUACGGAACAUGUAUAGGCUAAAUAAACAUAAAUGCAGCGGAAGCAAAGAUAAAAUCAUACUACACAUUUAUCUCCAAAGACAUUGUUCGUACAUCUUAAUAAAAAAUUAAAAUAUCAAAGAGGGUUAUAUGGAUUACCUCUCAAAGCACGCUUUAAACAACUUGAUUCGGAUGUUCUUCAGUUUGAGUUCCACAAACAUUGGGCCUCUAGUUCAAACACACCACCAACACACCUCGAACGAAAAAGAGCUCGCAGGUAAUCACCAUUAUAAUUGUGCUAGCAAUCUCAUGGAGACAAUCCUCUGCACAUGGUUAGUAACUAUUUGUUAGCCAUGUAGUUCUCUCUCUCUUUCUCUAUUUUUCUUAAUAACCCACUCACCCUCUCUCUGCUCUAUAUAUAAUGUCCAGUGAAGUCAACAUUUAACUUCCUCCGGAAGCUGGUCUUUAACAUUUCAAAGAAAUUAUUGACUACUUCUUCCAUAAGCUAUUUCUUCUUGAAGUUAGUCUUUAACUUCUCAAAUAAGUUAUUGACUAAUUCCUCCCGAAACUGGGUGAGCAAGAGAAGAGCUCUUGUGAGUGGGCUGUGUCCAAUUGAGUGAAUUGGUUAUGGUGUGUGACAUCCCUAGAUUCAUUACUGAACUAGUAGUAAGACUUGCACUAUACUCCCAAGAGAAUUGAUUGUCUCGAUUAAUCUCUAGGUCCUACAAGUUAAUCUAGUAAUAUGUUAUGGCUACCCAGACAGUGUAAAUGUUUUAAGAACAUAAUGAACAUAUCAGCUCUGGUUACAGUAUAAUUCAAUCCAUCUGUCUCACUAUGUCUCGAUCGAAUAAAGACCAUUGAAUAUUUGUCAAGUCACCAAUUCGAUCAUAUGCACAAACCUAAUUGAUCUACAUUUUAUACGAGACAUAAACAGUUUAUUCUCAGUUACAACCUCGGCCAAGUAUUUCAAUGCAGUGUCACAAUUAGAUUACAUAUGACAUCUUACUGUACCUUGCAUGUAACAAGGAGACAAAUUCCAUAUUGCACACACGUGUAACUUCGUAUGUGAACGAGUUAUGACCAUCAUGUACAUAGACAGAUCAACGAGUUGCCAAUAUGCGUACCCGUGAACCAUAGCCGUCCAACAUACAAGUUAACACUGUACCUUAGGUCUAAGGAUUAUUUACACAAGACCAGAGUAUGAACGAUUAGUCAUUGAUCCCGCUAAAAACUUCCAUAUUGCCAAUCGUUCUAUAUGUGUCACGUUCAGUGAACUUAUCUGUUACAAGCACCUGUGUUCUAACUCGGGCAUCCAACACUUAAUGGUGAAGUUAAGAAUACACCAGUCUCAAUAGGAUCAUUAAUAUCCACUCAAUGAUCCAUUGACCGAGAACGGUUUAAAGAUUUAGUCUAACUGUGAACCCGUCACGCAUAUUCUUAAUGUCUCAAGAAUAAGUUCGGUCACAAUUGAUCCUAUGGAAACAUUCAUAUAGAUAAUUAGACAAAUGAAUGAAUACGUCUUUGCCAUUAAUUUGACAAUACGACUGAAAUCCUUAACAUGUAACUAUUACAUGGUUGCUUUAAGGCAUAUAACUAACAGAUCGUCCUUGUUCCACAGUGCUUUGAUUGUUGUCCUUGGUUGAUCUCAGGGUAAAGCUACGAGUAGGUGGUUGUAUCGUAGAUUGAAAUUAAAUCUCAAAUAAUUCGAAAUGUUCAUAGGAAAUUUGGGCAGGAAAAAGGAAUGAACAAUAAAAGUGUCGAGAGUCGAAAUCGAAAGAAGUGGCCACAAUCCUUAAAGCACAAGGGCUCUAGACAAGCUUUCUGAAUAAUAGUUCCGGUCCUUACACCUAUAUUUUGAUCCCUGUAAUUUUAUGUUAAUAAUUUUUUUUCUAUAAUUGCACGUUUUAAUCUCGAAAUGAGAUUAAUGAGAAAUUUUCGAAAAGAGAUUGAAAUUCCGAACCUAAGUCCAAAUUGGCCCGGACCGGACCAAAUUACAUUAGUCCAAGGCCAAUUAUUCUCCAUUCAGGGCGGACCGAAUGCCUCUCUAGUCUGCAAUUUUCCCUUAAUGGUUUUGGUGACUAUCUAGAUCUCUAGACUACUCUACAUGUCGAAAUCUUAAAUUUAGGACAAUAAACUUUUCAAAGCUAACAACAAUCCGAUGAAUAAAAUCACAAGAAGUCGAUAGAGGUGCACUCCUUUUAAAUGCUUUUGACUGUGGUUGAUCGAUCCACUUUGAAGAUUGAAUUUAUGUUCCCAUCGUCCUUCAACGGUUCUACUUCUGUUGAACAGUUAUGAUAGGCCUAAUGAUAAUUAUUCUGUCCCGAAAAUAAUUUCUGACAAGAUAUUUCUAUUUCUAUUUUUUGGACAAGUUUAUUAAUGGAGGUAUGUGUUUAAUAACAACAUAAUUUCUAUUCUUGAAACAUAAAUUCGUUUGAUAGGCAUUCUUAAAUAUCUCCAUCCGGUAGUAAUAGUUGGUAGGGGGAAGCGAGAGGUGGGGGUAGAUAGCAAGGGUUAGUGAUGAGAAGAUUUUUUAUUUUUAUUUCUAUUCCUAAAAUAGAAAAGUAGAAAGUUUUUAUUUCUCAUUUUUGUUUCAAACUUAUUUCUAGGCUAAUUUUUUUCUUGAAAAUAGAAAAAUAAAAUUGCAUUACUAAACAAAAUUUUUGUUUCAAACUUAUUACUAGAAAUAGAAAAAUAGAGAAACGGAGAAACAUAAUGGUUAUCAUUCGCACCCUUUAAAAUCUGACUUCCCCUUUGUAUAAGGUUGGGACUAUGAACGUUUACAAUGGAUCUAAUCUAUUAUAAACCGGAUUCAGACAAGUGGAUUUCUUUUCACAAAUCUUAUUGAUAAACAAAGUUUUGUAUGACAAUCUUAGAUUUUUACAACCAUACUAGUCGUUCAAAAUAAACUUUUACCGCUCAUUACCAAACAAUAAAUGAAUAUGUUGCUUUAGUAGCAGUUCAAAUAAUAACAAAAUUGUUAUGUUCAAAUUUAGAUCAAAACUCCUUGAUUAAGAUUUAAGUUCAACUUUUCCCAAGCCAGAUCAAAAUCUUCGACAUCAUUUUCCCCUCUUCACUUAUUUAAUGAGUUGAAGAUUAGUAGUGCCUUUUUUUUUUUUUUUUGGGCUAAAACAAACCUUCCAUUACAUCAAAAUAAUUCAUAUAUUGUGAGGAUAAACUAGAGCAUAAAUCAAGAUGGUAAAAUUAAAGAAGACUCCUAAUCCUAAAUUUUUAACUCUAGAAGGGAGAUCAUUAAAAACGAAAGAAGAUGCAAUUCCUAAUUGAUGAAAAGCCAAUUUUUCAAACUUAUGAGCAGCUUCAUUACUAGUUCUACCAAUUCACUUCAAACUUUAUCAUGGAUUGUUGCUAAGCAGUAAAUGGGAGUCCAAAACGAAAGGAUGAAUAUACCAAGGGCAAAGGCCCUUUUGUUGAAUAGCAUUAAUUAGUACUUUACAGUCACUUUCUGUUGGAGAAAUCUUUCUGGAAUAUUUUGAAGCUGACAAAAUGUUUCUAUCAGUCUAGUCUGAAGAUUUGUAGACUCUACUAUUAAAGUCUGAAGACCUCCGGACUACCAGACUCAAGACUCAAAGUAUAUUCUCAUUGACAGUUUCUAAUCCGUUGACGAAAGGCUAUCCAAAACUGAGUGCUUCAUUGAGGAUUUGGCCUUAUCGACUGGAGAAGAUCUCUUGGCUGGAUAUGACAUAACGGAUUCCUUUAUUCAAAUCAAGAAUGAUUAAAGAUCCGAUGAUUGGCGAAGUAUUCUUGGAAGGUUUUACUUAUGGAAACCAAGAUCCUGAUUGUAUGGGCGAGCAAGAUUGAUGGGCUAUCGACAUGUUCUUUUAAUAGCUCGAAUGAUCUUCCUAAUUGAUUCUGUCCAACGGGUGGAUUGGAAGAAUUCAUUUGGUAAGUGCCAACGGGUAUGAUGGCACAAAGGAGUAUAAAAGGAAGACGUUCCAGUUGUUCGAGGUGGUGCACGAUAGAAGAAUUCCAUAGUCUGAAGCUCUUUGAUUCUUAGUCAAUUCAUUUACUAAGCAAAAUCUUGUACGCAAAAGAGAGUCUAUAUUUUGAGAUACCUUGAGAAAGUGUGGUAGAGUAUCUACAUUGUGGAAUCAAGGGAAAGCAUUGCUGUAACAUCUCUUUUGUUCAUAGUGAAAUCCAGCCGGUGGGCUGUCAGUGCAGAAGAGUGGACGUAGGCUUGGAAUAAGCCGAACCACUAUAAACCUUGUGUUCAAUUUUCUCUUCCCUACUCCCUGCUUUACUUUGAUCAUAGUUCAUUUUGUUAACUAAAUGAGAGCUUCCUUUCUAUUGUUUGCAUAGUAUUGCUUUCAUAUCUCGAGAAAUUAUUUCUACACCUAUUCACCCCCCUCUAGGUGCUUAUACUAGCUAUAUCAAUUGGUAUCAGAGCCUGUGUACUCACUUUAUUUGAAGUAUUUUUACUUCAGAGUUAAAGAUCCAUGGCUAGUGUGCUAGCUCCAGGGCUGGUGGAAGGGCAAAGUAAUAUCAGACCACCUUACUUUGAUGGAAAUGAUUACAACAUCUGGAAAAACAAGAUGAAAGCGUUCCUACGAUCAAAGGAUCCUAUGGAAUGGGACGUUGUAGAAAAAGGAAUCACUCCUAAAGCUGCAUCUGUCUCAGAGAGAGGAAAAGAAACUGUUGAGUCAAGUGAAAUGACUCAGGAAGAGAUAAUCAAGAGACAAGCUCUUGAUGCAAAAGCAAUUUAUUCUUUAUAUUGUGCUUUGUCACCUACUGAAUAUAACAGAAUAUCUUCUUGUGUUACAGUAAAAGAAGUCUGGGAUAGAUUACAUAUCACCUAUGAAGGAACUGAUCAAGUGAAAGAGACCAAAAUCAACAUUCUCCUCGGUCAAUAUGAAGCAUUCAAAAUGAAAUUAGGAGAAUCUAUAACUGACAUGUUUAGUCGUUUUACAGAAAUCGUGAAUGGUCUUGAAAAUCAAAGUCAACCAAUUUCUGAUCCCAUGAAGGUAAACAAGCUACUGCGUGGACUCUCCAAGGAUUGGAAUCACAUAAAUACCUCAAUAAGAGAGAAAAAAAAAUCAUGCCACUAUCUGUCGAUGAGUUGGUUGGAACUCUUCAGUCUUAUGAAGUGGAACGAAUCAAUGAAGACGAAGAUCCUAAAGGUAAGAAAUCCAUUGCAUUAAAAUCCAAUGAUGAUUCUGAUGUCACAGAUUCUGAAGAUGAUAUGGACGAUGAGGAGCUUGCUCUCAUGAUAAGAAGAUUUAGAAAGCUGAACAGAAAAGGAAGAAGAUUCAAUCCAAAGAAACAGAGUUUUCAAAAGCAACAGACCAAGUCUGUUGAUGAUGAUGAAUCAAACAAAGAUGUAGUCUGCUUUGAAUGUAAGAAAAAUGGACACAUCAGACCCAACUGUCCUCUUCUGAGAAAGAAGAAAGGAAAAGCUGAAAAGAAUCGAAAGGCUCUUAAAGCAAAAACUUGGAGUGAUACAGAGUGUGAAGAAAGUGAUGAUGAUUAUGCCAAUAUAUGUCUGAUGGCACAAUCGGAUUCAGAUUCAAACUCCGAGACAGACUCAGAUUCAGACAGUGAAUUUGAGGUAAGUAACUUUAAAAUCCCUGUUAAAGUUUCUAAAUACAUUGAUGAGCUGUGUUUUAGUCUUAAGAUUUCUCUUAAAAGGAUUUCCGAACUUAAAAAGGAAAACUCUACACUAAAACAACAGGAAAAUGUUUUGAAAGAAAAGUUGAAAUGUUUAGACAUGAAUGUUUCUACUCUUAAAGAAAGCGAAGAUAAUCUCUUGAAAGAAAAUUCCUUUUUAAAAAAAAUGACUUAUCAAAUAUUUCAAAAAGAUUUUCAAUAGGAUCUGAGAAACUUGAGAAAAUUCUUUCUGCACAAAGACCUUAUUUCAAUAAAUCUGGUUUAGGAAUGACAGCAGAAACCAUUCCUUUAAUUGAUUUUCCUAAAGUGAAGGAAAGAAUUAAGUAAAGACCUACAAGAGAUGCUUACAAAAAUCAUUUCAAAAAGGUUUUUGUAAAACCAGUAGGUCGAAAUGCUCUCAGAUGUUCAAAGUGCAAUAGUGCAGAUCAUUUUGAAAAAGAGUGUCCUAUGGUUUGGAAACCUGUUAAGAAAGUAUGGGCAAAAACCGCAUAUCAUACUAACACCAAUGGACCCAAGAAAAUAUGGGUACCAAAGAAAGCUUAAGUCUUUUUAAAUGCAGGUCAUUAUCAAGAAAAAGGUAAAAUGGUAUCUGGAUAGUGGAUGCUCAAGACAUAUGACAGGAGAUUCAAAUUGCUUCAUAAAACUCGUUCAAGUAAAUGGUGGAAAAGUCUCAUUUGGAGGAAAAAGCAAAGGAAGAAUUAUGGGAUUUGGAACUGUAAAGAUUGGAAACUUUACAAUAAGCAAUGUUUCCCUAGUGGAAGGACUCAAUUACAAUCUGCUCAGUAUCAGUCAACUGUGUAAUACUGGUUUCAAAAUCAACUUUCAAGAGGGAAUAUGUUCAGGAACCAGUAAAGAUUCUACUCAGUCAUUCAUGGGCCGAAGACAUGGAAAUAUCUACCUCUUGGAUGUGAAACCAGAUGAAUCGCAAUGUCUAAUCUCAAUUCAAGAUGAAGCGAGCUUAUGGCACAGAAAGCUUGGGCACAUCAAUAUGAAGCAGAUAGCCAAAAAUUCAGCAAAGAAGCUUGUUCGUGGUACCCAAUUUAUCAUACCAAAAGUCUGAUCUAUGUACACCAUGCGUAUUGGGAAAGCAGGUAAGAAAUUUCUUUAAACCAAUAAAUCAAGUUUCCACUAAUCAUGUACUGCUGUUUUUGCAUAUGGAUCUCUUCGGACCAACCAGAACUCAGAGCAUUGGAGGUAAGAAAUAUUGCCUAGUAAUUGUGGAUGACUACUCACGAUUUACUUGGGUAUAUUUCCUGGCAAGUAAGUCUGAAACAUUCUCUUACUUUGAAAAGUUUGCUAAAAAGGUUCAAAAUGAAAAAUGGUAUGUUAUCUCGAGUAUAAGAAUAGACCAUGGAGGUGAAUUUGAAAAUCAAGAUUUUACAAGAUUCUGUGAUGAAUCUGGUUUUCAGCAUGUGUUCUCCUCUCCAUAUACUCCAAAGCAAAAUUGAGUUGUGGAAAGAAAGAAUAGAUCGUUUCAAGAAAUGGCUAGAACUCUUUUAAUUGAAAGUAACAUCUCUUCACGAUUUUGGGCUGAAGCAGUUUCAACAGCAUGUUAUAUUAUCAAUAGAGUUUUUCUAAGGCCUAUUCUGGAAAAAACCCCCUAUGAGUUAUUCAAAGGAAAGAAGCCUAUUGUUUCAUAUUUUCAUGUGUUCGGAUGCAAAUACUUUAUAUUGAAAAAUGCAAAUGAUAGAGUUGGUAAGUUUGAAGAAAAAUCAGACGAAGGCAUCUUCUUGGAUAUUCUACCUCAAACAAAGCCUACAGAGUCUAUAACAAGAAGAGUCAAUCUGUGGAGGAAUCAAUGAAUGUCAAAUUCCAGGAUUCUAUGCAAAAUGAAUAUGUUCAGACUCAUCUUGAAGAAUCUAAACCUGCUCUAGACUCUACAAAGUCUAAAUCUCAAGAAGCAGCUCAGACUCUGAAAGACCAGCAACAAAUGGUUAUUAUAGAUUCAAAUGAAGGAAGUAAUCAUCAACCUGACAAAUCAAUCAGUAACUAGAAGCAUAAGUCCAAUCAUCCCAAAGAUCUCAUUAUUGGCGACAUUAAUGAAGGAAUUCGCACAAGAUCCAAAAGGCGCGAAGAGUCUAGUACUAUGGCUCUUAUUUUUGAAAUAGAACCAAAAAGCAUAGAAGAAACUUUAUCUGAUGAAAGCUGGAUUGAAGCUAUGCAAGAAGAACUCAGACAAUUCAGUAUUAAUGAUGUCUGGGAGUUGACUCCUAAACCAAAAGGUAAAUCUAUUAUUGGAGCUAAAUGGGUUUUCAGGAACAAAAUGAACGAAAAAGGAAAAGUCGUAAGAAACAAAGCAAGACUCGUGGCCAAGGGAUAUACGCAAGAAGAAGGGAUAGACUAUGAUGAGACUUACGCACCAGUAGCAAGGUUAGAAGCAAUUCAAUUAUUACUUGCUUUUGCUUGUUAUAAUAAUUUCAGGUUAUUCCAAAUGGACGUCAAAAGUGCUUUCCCGAAUGGAUUUAUCCAUGAGGAAGUUUAUGUGGAACAACCGCCUAGGUUUGAAGACCCAAGGAAGCCAGACUCAGUAUUCGGACUGAAAAAAGCCUUGUAUGGUUUAAAGCAAGCACUUCGAGCUUGGUACGACAGGCUGAGUAAGUUCUUAAUUCAAAAUGGCUUUGUAAAAGGUAAAGUAGACACUACUCUGUUUAUCAAAAGAGAAAGCAAAAGUUUUCUGCUUGUUCAAAUAUAUGUUGAUGAUAUUAUUUUUGGAUCCUCUAAUGAAAGUUUGUGCAAGAAAUUCUCUAAGUCUAUUCAGGAUGAAUUUGAAAUGAGCAUGAUGGGUGAACUAACCUUCUUUCUUGGACUUCAAGUGAAACAAUUGAAGGAAUGGACUUUUAUUCAUCAAGAAAAAUAUGCUGAUGAUCUUGUCAAAAAGUUUGGACUGGAAAAUUGCAAAAGGACUGAUAUACCAAUGUCAAGUUCCUUGAAGAUAGACAAAGAUGAAGGAGGAAAGAAAGUUGACCAGAAGCUAUACAGGAGUAUCAUCGGUUCACUUCUUUAUCUUACUGCUUCUAGACCUGACAUUUUGUUUAGUGUUUGCAUUUGUGCUAGAUUUCAAGCAGACCCUAAAGAAUCUCAUCUAAGUGCUGCAAAGCGUAUUAUCAAAUACAUUGCUUCAACUUCAAGCAUCGGCCUUUGGUAUCCUAAAAAGGGAGACUUUACUCUUCUUGGAUACUCAGACGCAGAUCUAGCCGGUUGCAGAGUUGAUAGAAAGAGCACCUCGGGUACCUGUCAGUUAUUUGGAAGCAAGACAGUGUCUUGGUUUUCAAGGAAGCAAAAUACAAUAGCUCUUUCUACAGCAGAGGCAGAGUAUGUAGCUCUCGGAAGUUGUUGUUCACAAAUUAUGUGGAUAAAACAACAGCUAAGAGACUUUGGAAUUGAAGAUUCAUGCACGGAGAUUAACUAUGACAACACCAAUGCAAUCAAUCUUACCAAAAAUCCAUUUCGUCACUCAAGAGCAAAGCAUAUAGAGAUUUGACAUCACUUCAUUAGAGAUCAUGUUCAAAAUGGAGAAGUUUCGAUUUAGUUUGUUGACUCAAAGAACCAACUGGCGGAUAUAUUUACAAAGCCUUUGGAGAAAAAUCAAUUUGAAAUCAUUCGUUCCAGACUCAACAUCUUGAAGCUUGAAGAAGUUAAAGUCUAGAGACUCUCAGACUCAGAUAAUCAUGGUUCUUGAUUGUAAGUUAUUUUAUUUUCUCUUAUAUUAAAUCUCGUAAAGGUACGAUCAUUUAUCUAUUUAUAAUUGAUUUAUGCUAUCUUUAAUUUCCGUGAAAAGUGCAAUUUUUCAUUUUCAAAAAGAGUUAAUGGCAGUUAUCUAUUUUUGAAAAAUGCAGUUUUUUUUAAAGGCGUCUUUUAACCUUCCUUUACGACGUUUAGCAUUCCCCCGUUUCGACUGAGCUAUAUACAGUCGGUUCCUCUUCACUUAACUCCAAAACCCUAAAAAGCAUCGAUCUUCCAUUCCUGUCUUCCUCCAUUAUUUAAUCUUCAAAAAAGUUGUCAUCUUUCUUGGGAAAGUCAAGCAAGGAAUCUUUCAAAGACUGAGAAAGAUGUCGUCUUCAAGAAAGUCUUCGAGGAUCGCAAGCAGGGGACCACGGCGAAUGAGUGAGGGGCCUACUCACUUUGAUCUCACCGAGGAAGAUGAGUCACCAAGUCAGCAGCAGAGCUCACAACAUUCUCAGCAGCGUCAUUCUCCACCAACUAGUCCACAGGGUGCUGGUCAUCAACAAGAGGAAGAAAUCGUUGAAGACGCAGAUCCUAAUCAAUGGAACGACAGGAGAAAGAAGCAGAGGAGAGAGAAGGACAGGAGAAAGAAGAAGAAGAGACGGAAGCAGAGGAGCAAGAAGCAGAGGAGAAGGAAGAAGAGGAGAGAGAAGCUGAAGAAAGAGAAGCAGAGGAGGAAAGGUUUGAAGAAGAAGAAGGAAGAGAAAAUCAAGAGGAAGGAGAGCAUGAGGAACACUCUUCUCCACCUGAAACCAUGGAAAUAGGGGGAGAUGGUGAGAAAAGAGGAAUGUCCUCAUAUCUUGUUAACAGUGAAGGAGUCAGUCGCUUUCUAGCAGAUCCAGAGGACAUCCAUGCCUCUCAAUUUCCUGAGGAGGGACAUGAUGCUUCAUCGCCAAAUCUACAUGAUUAUGCUGAUAUACCAUCGCUUGCCUUUACUCCAUUAGAUCGUGCCGAAGCCAGUACGCAGACUAAUAACUCAGCAGAUUUUUGCAGAAUCAUUAAUGUUCUCUUGGAAAUACGGGGUUAGAUAUAUGCUUUAGAAUGCGAAGUUCAGAACUUGAAGAAUGUAGGACAAGCUUCUUCUGUUUCCUUAUCUGAUCAAAUCCAAGCCCUUGCUCUUCAGAUUCAAGCCAAUGCUAAAGGUGAAGAGGUGGAUCAAUUGAAGGAAGAAUUGAAAAAGCUGGAAGGCAUCAUCCAGUCCAUGGGAUAUUUCUAGCUUGUUCGCGUUCCUAAGCAAAUUUGACUCCAUUCUAUUCCCAUCUCAACCUUUUUUUUUAUGACAAAAAGGGGGAGAGAUGCGAGAUUUGAAAUCUUUGAACUUUGAACUUAAACUUGUUGAAUUUUUAGUUUGUUUUGAUGUUUGACUUGUGUGUCUUUGUCUGGAUGUGGACUGACUGAAUGUGGAUUUGGAUUUGAUUGCUGCUUAUAUUAAGAACUAUUGAUAUCUUAUGAAUGGCUUUACUCUCAUGCAAGACUAACCUAUUUUCUGUGGUUGCAGAUUCUAGUGUUAUCAUUAAGCCAUUAAUCUUUAUGAGAUAUCCAUAUUUGCUUGAGUAAUGUUUUGCAGGUCAAAGUUAUUCAAAUCUACAUGAAAGUUUUGUCACAAUCAAAAAUGGGGAGAUUGUUGGAGAAAUCUUUCUGGAAUAUUUUGAAGCUGACAAAAUGUUUCUAUCAGUCUAGUCUGAAGAUUUGCAAACUCUACUAUUAAAGUCUGAAGACCUCCGGACUACCAGACUCAAGACUCAAAGUCUAUUCUCAUUGACAGUUUCUAAUCCGUUGAUGAAAGGCUAUCCAGAACUGAGUGCUUCAUUGAGGAUUUGGCCAUAUCGACUGAAGAAAAUCUCUUGGCUGGAUAUGACAUAACGGAUUCCUUUAUUCAAAUCAAGAAUGAUUAAAGAUUCGAUGAUUGGCGAAGUAUUCUUGGAAGGUUCUACUUAUGGAAACCAAGAUCCUGAUUGUAUGGGCGAGCAGGAUUGAUGGGCUAUCGACAUGUUCCUUUAAUAGCUCGAAUGAUCUUCCUAAUUGAUUCUGUCCAACGGGAGGAUUGGAAGAAUUCAUUUGGUAAGUGCCAACGGGUAUGAUGGCACAAAGGAGUAUAAAAGGAAGACGUUCCAGUUGUUCGAGGUGGUGCACGAUAGAAGAAUUCCAAAGUCUGAAGCUCUUUGAUUCUUAGUCAAUUCAUUUACUAAGCGAAAUCUUGUACGCAAAAGUGAGUCUAUAUUUUGAGAUACCUUGAGAAAGUGUGGUAAAGUAUCUACAUUGUGGAAUCAAGGGAAAGCAUUGCUGUAACAUCUCUUUUGUUCAUAAUGAAAUCCAGCCGGUGGGCUGUCAGUGCAGAAGAGUGGACGUAGGCUUGGAAUAAGCCGAACCACUAUAAACCUUAUGUUCAAUUUUCUCUUCCCUACUCCCUGCUUUAUUUUGAUCAUAGUUCGUUUUGUUAACUAAAUGAGAGCUUCCUUUCUAUUGUUUGCCUAGUAUUGCUUUCAUAUCUCGAGAAAUUAUUUCUACACCUAUUCACCCCCCUCUAGGUGCUUAUACUAGCUAUAUCACUUUCAAACACCACCUUGUGGAUGCCGAGGGACUAAGCAGCUUUGCACUUGAGAAGAAGAGCUACAGCUUCCACUUCCACUGGUGAGUUCCAUCUUCCUUGUCUUGUCCAUGCUUGGACAACUAAGCCUCGAUCUGAUCAUGCAAUAAUACCUAUGGCCCAUUUAUGUCUUUCCACACACCAUCUACAUUAAAUUUCAACUCUUCAUUUGAUGGAGGAAUCCAAGAGUUUGUCCUUACCCCAAAAGAAUCUAACUCCUCGCUUAACUUAACUUUGUUCUCUCUCUUGAACAUAUUUGAAUAUUCCAAGAAAUCUUGUAUGACCAUCUAAAUCGCUUUGGGAGAAACUGGAGUUGUAUGAUCAUCUAACUUUGUUUUCCUAUAGCACCACAUUCUAGUGCAGAGAAUUGCUACGUAAAGAGUGAAGAGUUUGCAAUCUAAUCCCAUUUUAUAUACUAUUUUUCCUAGAUUAAGAAAGUGGUUCACCAUCUCUUUUGAAAAGUUGAAGUUCCAAGCAAAUGAGACAAUACCCCAUGGGCUUUAUCUCCACAAAAUUUGGGCUAGAGGACAUGAUGUAAAAAUGUACCGAAUUCUCCUUCGAAGCUCCACAUAACGAGCAAGAAGGGUAUGGGAUAUGGAUCAAUCAAAACAAAUUAGCUUGACAAGGUAAGACAUCGGUUGCUAUCCUCCACAACAUCAUUUUGUGCCGCUCAUGAGCUCUAGCUUUCUAGAUUUUGUUCCAAAUCACGCCGUUGUUGCCAUUUUUAGUUCAUGAUUUAUGAGUUUGUAAGCAGAUUUAACAUAAAAUAAUCCAUUGAUAGUUGGAUGCCAAAUUGAUUUGUCGACCCAAAUGGAGUUUGGCACACGGAUCUGAAGAAUGGGUUGGGCUAAGGUUAGGCAAAAAGUCUGAUUUAGACUUAAUACAUCCCAGGUUUCUGUCCCUAGGAUAAAGAAGCUUUCUAUCUUUCUUUGCUUCAAGAUAGGGUCUGGAUCAAUAAAAUAAGGCAAAUGAGAUGAAACAUUAGGAGUCCAAAGGGUGAUUUCCUACCUCGAUUGAUUUUCCAUCCCUUACUUGAUAAAAAGUUCACAGUUUGAGUAUUUGCAUCCGAGAUUGCCUUCCACAAAGGAGAGGGUGAUGCCUCGACCUCAUGACUCCAGGAAUUGAAGCUUCAGAGAUACUUCCCUCCAAGAACUCUAACUAAUAGCUUGCUUCUAUCUUGGACCAUUCCCCAACUGAGCUUUAAAAGUACAAUGUUGUUGAAAUCCCUAUUAUGCUGAAAACUCAUUCCUCCACUCUUCUUGUUUCUACAUCGUGAAUCCCUAUAUUUAGGUGUAAAGUAUCUAUUUUUCUCUGUUGGCACACCCCACUAGAAUUUUCUUAUAGAGGUGUUGAGUCUAUCACAAGUGCUACAAGGCAGUUGACCAUAUUGCAUAGCAUAGAUUGGCGCAUUCAGAACAAUCGACCAAAUGUUUGUUGCUCUACUUGCCCAAGAUAGUGUCUUCCUUUUUCAGGUGCUAAGUUUGUUAUCAACCUUAUGUUCAAGGAAUUGAUAUUUUGCCCUACCUUUUCUUGGUUGAAGAGGGAAUUUUCAAGAUACAGUGCUUCAAGAUCCGCUUUCACAUGUGGAGCUCAUCCAUACAAAACUUUUUCACGCCUAGAAAAGUACCUUUAGAAAAAAAGACAGACGGCUUCUGAUGAUUCAAGCUUUGACCUGACCACAAGCAAUAAAUUUCAAUGUGUUGGAGAAAACUCCUUUACUAUUUUGAAGAUUGACAAAACCUUUCCAAAGUCUAGUUUAAAGACUUCCAGACUUUAGUGUCAAAGUUUGAAGACUGCCAGAUUCUAGGUUCAAAGUCUGCCCACAUUAACAGUUUCUAGACUGAAGAAUAAAGACUUAUCCAGAUGCGAGAUUAUCUUUAUUUCUUCAAGGAUUCGAUUCAUAUGGUUUAUGGAUAACUUUAUGACUGGUUUUAGCACCUACAUGAUUGAUUAUCCUUAUUAGAAUCAAUUCCGAUAUUCAAAUCUUUUGGAAUGCGAGUAAACUUGGAAGGUUCUACUUAUGGAAACCAAGAUCCUGAUUGUAUGGGUGAACAUGAUUGAUGGGCUUUCUUCACAAAUUAUCAAAUGACUUGAGAUUUCCUUGAUUGAUUCUGUCCAACGGGUAGAUUGGAAGAAUUCUUUUGAAAAGUGCCAAUGGUCGAGAAGGCAUGAAUGAGUAUUUAAGGCAAACUCUCCAGUUGUUCGAGAGUGUGUGUGAAAGAAAAAUUUUAAAGUCUAAAGCUUCCUAAUUCCUUGUUAUUUCAUUCACUAAGCUCAAAGUUGUAUACAAAAGAGAGAAACUCAUAGUGAGACUUUGUGAGAAACCAGUAGAGAUUCUUUAUUAAAAAGUCGAGUUCAUCAAAUUGUAAAAUCUCUUUUGAUUUUAGUAGAAUUCAGCUAGUGGGCUGUUAGCAUGGGAGAGUGGACGUAAGCUUGAUUUAAGCCGAACAAUUAUAAAUCUUAUGUUCUUAUUCUCUUCCCUAAACUCUUUUAUUUUGAUUCAUAGCUCUAAUUAAUUGUUUAAGUUUAAACUUCUUUGGUUCCGUUUGGUUUGGUUUUGGGCAAAUGUCAUUGGGAAAAUGUAAAUACCUUUGAGCUAAAGGGGUUUAUGAAAAUGCAAAUAGCAUUUGGUAAAUUAUAGUUUUAAAGUGCAUUGUGAAACGACUUUAGCUUAAACACAAUUUAGUAAAAACUACAUUUUGUAAAGGAUUUUUGCUAAGUUUUAUAUAUAAAAAAAGUUUUUAAUUUUUUUUUUAAUGUAGCCAUCGGCGGCCAAUGUCCAGCAGCUAGAUCUGGCCACCGGAUAGCCUCGCCUGAGGUCACCUGGGGUCGCAACUUAAGUGGUCGUCUAGGUUGGCGACCUUAGGUGGUGGUUGCCUGGGUUCAUUCAAUUCACGCAACGGUCACAAGUUGCUAUCAGACCUCAAGCAAUGCCUGGGGUUUGCAACCCAGGUUGUUGUUGCUUGGGUCGUGAACCCUAGGCGCCAUCGCCUGGGUCACGUAGUCAUCGCUUGGGUUGCGUGACUCAGGCAUCGCCUGAGGUUCGGCGACCUCAAGCCACCGUUGCCAAGGUCGCACGAACCUAGGCGACCAUGGCUUGAGGUCGCACAACCUCAGGCGACAGUCAUCGAGUGGCCGCAACCCCCAAGCGGUGGUCACCGGGGUUGAGUGACACCUCAGGCGACGGUCACCAACACAGGCAACUCCUUGGCUAGCAGUUGUCGGCCUCUGUUUGUUUAUUCGAAGAAGAUGAACAGUACCAUGGGACUUGCAUUCCGAAGAUGCAAAUUCCCAAAGUACCUCAAGAGCUUACAUUAGGCUAAAGGCUUUUAGAGUCAUUUGGAGAUGUGAUUGCAUCUUGACAAAGUCGUCCAAAAAAUUAAACCAAACAUAUUUGCAUUUGGCCAAACCCCUUUAAAGCCCAAAAGUCCCUUUCAAAUGCCGAACCAAACGGGCCUUUAUUUUAUUUAAAUUUUUUAUCUAAUCGUUAAAGUCUGAAUUCAUCUGUGAUUUUCUAAAGUCAAAUUAUCUCUUUUGAACUUUGCAAAGAUUUUUGUUCACACCUAUUCACCCCCCUCUAAGUGUUAUUACUAGCCCUUUCACAAUGUAUUCCUUCAAUCCUUUCAGUUGAUGCUCAAUGGUUUUGACAAAUAACAAGAGAUCAUCAGCAUACAUAAGGUGAGUUAAAGGCGAACACUUUUGCCCUACUCUUAUACCUACAAUAAUCUUCAAAUCCUUUGCUCUAAAUAGGAUUCUAGAAAGAAGUUUAGUAUAAAUCAUAAAUAGGUAUGGCAAGAUAGGGUCAUUUUGUUGGAGUCCCUUUUGAGAUUUAAAACUUCCCAUAGGUUUAUCAUUGAUGAGAAGAGAAUAAUGAACUGACGAAUACAUAUUUUUAUGAGCCUGCAAAAAAGGACCUAGAACCCUAGGCUACAAAAGCAUUCCUGUCAACUCUAUCAUAAGCUUGUGACAUAUCCACCUUAACUCUCAUGAAUGGAUGCCCCUUUCUUUUCUUUCUCAUGGAGUGUACAAUUUCCUAUCUCAUGGAGUGUACAAUUUCCUAUGCAAUUACAGAAUUUUCUUAUAUGCUUCUACCCAGAAGAUAAUAUGACUGAGGAACCCUCAGUCUAUUUGCCAACAUCUUAGAGAUAAGUUUAUAGCGCACACUGCAAAGACUUAUGGGCCAAAACUGGUUAUAGGUGCGUGCAUUCUGAGUUUUUGGGAUGAGUGCUAUGAAAGCAUGGUUGAGAAGAUAGGGCAAUUGACUUUUUUUAAAAGAAAUGCUACACAAAUUGUACAAUCUGGGCCUUCACCACUUCCCAACGUUUCAUGUAGAAAAUGGCAUGGAAUCCGUCUGGGCCAAGUGAUUAAAGAGGGGCCAUCUCUUUCAUGAUGUCGGCGACACAUUUGAUCAAUUCCUUUGACUUUUGCAUACCGCAACCGCAUCCAAGGAUUUGACCAUUAAAAUUCGAUGGCCAUUUCUAAGAGUUUGCUGAGCAUCCAAGAAUAGGACCUAUGUGUGUAAAGCAUGAUAAAAUGCAUCGAGAAAUGAUGCUCUGGAAAUGAUGAAUUGGUCUCUCGAGAGACCAGAAACAAUUCUUAAUUUAUUUGCGAAUAAAACGAGCAUUCUGAUUUUUAUUUUCUCAAUAGAAAUGACGGAAUCGUUGCUGAAUAUACAAUUCUUUGUUUGACGACUCUACGAGAACUAUGAAAUGAAAUGGAAGUUGUUGGGUACUAUGUUUGACUAUCCUCCUUUUGUGUAUAUCUUAAAUUGUAAUUGAGGAAUUAUGCUAGUAGCUAAAAAGAUGCUGAAAGAACAUUUGCACGAUUUUAUAGAAAAGAAGAAGAAGAAGAAGAAGAAGAUUAGUCCUUCACUAGAUUGCUUGGCAAACAACGAGAUACCACCCCCUCCCCCAAAAAAAAAGAAUUUCCACAUUUAACUAUGGUCCUUUCAUUAUUCUCUUCUAAUUUCAAAUUAAUUUGAUUUAGGAAUUGAUUAAAUUAAUUGUAUUCUUCAUUAACUAUAUGCUGAGUGAGAUAACGUCAUAUUUAAUUAAGUUGGUCAUAGAAAAUGAAAUUCAUAACCGUGAUACCCGAAGAAGAAAAAAGAGGCAAAGAGAAGCGGUAAAUUCAACUCGAAUGCAAGGGUAUUUUGGGAAUUUUAUAUUUCGGCCACGCAGUUCUUGAUCGAGGCUUUCUUCUCAAUUUGAGGGCGACGGCCUCUUGGCGGGCCCCACUCGUUUUAUUCACCCCCCUAAUCUUAACUUAUCUUUCCUAUAGGCCCUUCCAAACAUGGGUAUUUGAACUUCUCUCCCCCCUUAUUCUCUUUCACUCCUCAUUCUUUCCCCAAACUUUUUGGCCUUUCCAAACAUAGGCUUAGAAAUCGAAAAAUAAAAAUAAAAAACAUAGGCUUAGAUAUAUAGAGUAGAAGUGUUUUCAAAUUAACCCAGAUGCAAUUAUGAGAUUAAUCAACACCCUUGUCGAGUGUUUUUAUCCUAGUGUUUGUUAGUAGGCUACUCAAUAGUAAAUAAAAAAAAAUGAACACAAAAUGUACAAGUUCCCCCUCUUGAUACGUGCUAACUUUGCUGUGCAAAAACCUCGAUUCCUAGAGGUGGGAUCAUGUUCCCACGUUAGGAUUCUUCCUCCCCUUGAUGCAGAUUAUAAUAGAACACAAUUCUGAGAUUCGUUCAAACUCUUGUUAGGUGCUUUAAUCCCAAUACCUAUUAAUAGUUACUUGGUCAAAUCUUAUAUAUUUGUGAAAAGUAAUUUCAAACAAAGGAGUUCAACUUGUACACCAUCUGUCAAAGACUUGUUUGGUCAAAACUUCACUUUUAGAUUCUUCCUUUUUUACAAUUGUCGUAAUUUUAGUUUUCUGUUGAACUCAAACGGUUUAACACAUAUAAAUACUGAUAUGCAUAUUCAUAUAUAAUUUCUACAUAAUUUUCUAGACAUAAUUACUCUCUUAAUUUUGGAGGCAAGAUUUGACUUUGUCUCGCCUAACGGCAACUGAACAAGAUAACCUUUUAGAGGGAAUCUUGAGUAGUUCAUCGUUUGAGCAGGAAAUAUUCAACAAAAAAAAUAAAAUCCACUAUUCGUUUUGAUCCAGCGCAUCAAUUGAUUUAACCCCCAAAAAAAAAGGAAAAGAAAAAGUUCGGCUAUAUGAAUAUACUAGUCGUUCAAGACUUGACUUAAAGAAAGUCGUCGGUUCACUUGCUAAACUUUUUCUGCAAAGUGAUUUAUAUAUUUUUAAUGUGUCGAAAACUUAGACAGGAGAAGGAUGAGACUGGGGAGUCAUUGGCCUUCUUUUUCUUCACGAGUUAUCUAGGAAGAAAUCUAUUGGACAAGAUGGAGAAAUUAGAUCUAGAAUGUGUUGAAUCCAGUGCAUCUAGAGGAGAUAUUACCAAUUUCAUAUUGAUUUGAACCAAAAAAAAAAAAAAAACGAAAAAGGGGUUAGAAAAAAUCUAGUCAUUCUCUCACUUGAUCUUACAAGCAUGUUUGAUGAAAUAAUCUUUGUAUGAAAUGAGAAAAAAAAAAAACAAAUAAAGUGUGUCAAGCUUAACGGCUCAAGGAAAGAAAAAGGUUGUUGGCCUUUUUUUCACUGGCUCAAGGGAUCUAUUAUAAAAAUGAUUGGUAUCACUCAAAAUCCUAAACUACCGUCUAAUUCACUCUAAAGUAUGUCCAAUACAAUAUCAAUAUCCCAAAAAUUUUCACACCCUUUAUGCUUGGGGUUUGGUGACAUGGAAAAGAUGUUUUGGAUAUUAAUAUUGCAGUGGCCAAAUCAUUUUGCGCCAUCAAAUAUUCUUAAUUAUAAUUCUUUUCUAUUGCUAGAAUUCUUAAAUUAUAUCUACUAUGAUAUUAAUGCCAUAACUUUUUGCAUUUUCCACAUGUUUGGGGUAUGGGCCAUACAAAAAAAAAAUUGUGAGGCAUUGGUGAUAAAGUGGCUGAAGUUUUGAAGUAUUUUGAAGUAGAUAGAUGGUACUUUAGCCAUAAUGGUAUAAAAUUAGAGGUUUUGGCUGCAAAAAAAAAAAAGGGUUCGAGAUAUUUUUGUGUGACAGCAAGGCACGACUUAAAAGAUUUUUCGUGAUAUUUCCCGGUCAAAGUUACGAAUGAUUAGAAACACUGACGACAAAUAUGCAAAUCUCUAAAAAUAAAAAAAUAAAAAAAUAGAGGGGCAUUUUGGCAUCCCUGAUCACAUCACAACCCUCCAUCCACGCAAGUCGUGCGGUGUAUAGCUGCAAACCCAUUAAAAAAAAAAAAAAAAAAAAGGUAACUGGGGGAGACGCACGCGCCAGGCGGCAGCGCGUGGGGAGGCGGAGCUGGGGGGCAAACAGCCCGGACGUCGCGACGCGCGGCCCGGCCCGGCCCGGCCCGCGAACUCGAUAUCUCGGACAACUCGGGCUCUCUCUCUCUCUAUGUAUAUCUGUCUUUCUGUCUCUGCUGUGCUGACCGUAGUUACGUCGCAUCCUCUCGACGCUCCGUUCGGGGCGGCAGCAGGGAGAGAGAAAGAGAGAGGAUAAAAUUAGAGAAAUGAGAAUAAAGAAUGGAACUUUUAUUAUUAUUUAUCAUUAAAUUGCAGAGGGUUCAUUAAUCGAAAGCAAUCGGUUGAUUCAAAGGAAAUGGUUGGUGGUCUUUUUUGCGGUACGAAAAGCAAAAGCAAAAGCUGAGGAAGCCCCCACACAGCCAGCCAUACGGAUGAGCACGUUGGACCGCUCAAAUCGAUUAUCACUCGGAUCGAAUCAGACCAACGGGUUUGAUCUUGUUCUCGGAGGAAUCGGUUUGGUUUCUGAUUUCAGAAAAAUAGCAUCAGUAGUUGUCGGUCCAAUUUUCGGUUCCAAAAAAAAACCGAAUCGGACUUGACCGACUUUUUUUUUAUAAAUAUUUUUACAUUUCUUUAAAAUAGCAAUAAACCAUUAAAAUAAUAACAACUCUAGUAUCUUUUAGUUUUUUUUAAUUUUUUUAAGUAAUUGGUUCCAUAGGAUCGGAGUAAACUAGACUAGAUCGAUCGGUCCAAUUUGGUUCCUAGUCCUAGGAUUGUCCAAUAGAGUCCCUAGUCCCAAAAAUUGGGAAUUGGUCCUUUUGAUCCAAUUCCUAGUUUGUAGGUGGAAUCAUGCUAGAUUGAAAAUCAAUCAUCUCUAACCAAUUGCCCACCUCCCCACCCAUUUAGAUUGAAUAUUAGUAUGGUAAUUAGUGUUGCAAUUUGCAUUCCCUCCUUGGGUGCUCAUGGUCCCUUCUUCUUACCCUAGCAUCCGAUGAUUUCCAAUACCUUUUCUUUUCUUUUCUUUUCUUUUUGUCCUUUUGCAUUCGGCUAAUCCUUAUCGAAUGUUGUGGAUCCACUUGUUGUCACAUGCCCGAAGAUUAUUGAAAUGCGCAUAUUGAUAUCACGACAUUCUUGUUGUUUGUUUUGGCAAUCCUAUAAGGAGCCUUGCAAGUCCUUUGACAUAGGGGUGGGUCAUAUUUCCAAGAGGUUGCCCACCCUGAUAGUACUUCCACCUAAGCAUGCUUAAAUAUUGUAGUUCCAAUUCUAAACUUGCUGUCAUGUCAAAGCGCAUUUCGUGAGUUAAUUUCAAUUUUACACACACACACAUCCCUUAAACACCUUUCUGCAUCGUAGAAGCUUGCCAAGAACUGCUUCUUAUCCAGUCCCUUUGACUCCAGUGAGCACUCUAUCACCGCUAUAGGUAUUCUCAAGUAUGGCUCUUGCCUAAGUGGAGCUUAAUCCAAACCCUCUAGUCAUUAUAAAUAUUAUCAGGUGUAUCUUCUACCUAAGUCGAGACUUUAAACUAGAGAACUAGACACUUUCCACAUAUAUGCUCGCAUGGCUAAAAUAAUUGAUAUUGAGAAAUGCAGUAUUCACCAUACUUCGUCGAGACUCAUAAACCAGUCUAUGUCAAAGUUGCAAUUUUUUUUUGCAAAAAAUUUAAUAUUUGACUUUAAAUUUUUAGAGAGGCGUGACCUCAUAGAAAAAGGCAAGCAUCCGAAUUAACAUGCUUGGUGGUUUGAUCCAUCACUUCUAUUCCAUUAUAUCAAAUGUGGCACUUGUCUACCGGCUUGCUAUUGCGGAAUUCUUUGUAUCUUAGAGCGCCGUUCCAUUCUAUGUCUAGUAGGAGAAAAAUAUCUGAAGAAUAGGAGGUAAUGCUUUGACCAAUAGAGGAGAGGCUUAGAUGCCUUCUUCCCCCACUAAACAAUGGUCUCGUCAGCAAGCACAUCAAUCCAAAUCCGCCACUAAGACAACAAACUACACGUCACAUCAACCCAUACAAAAUAUCAAGGAUUCAACAUGUUGCCAUCAUAAACAUUUAUGUAUUUUUCUUUCCCUUUUCCAUGAAAUGGAAUGGUGGGCUGUCAUUUACUUUUCUUGCAAAUUGAUCAUCCAUUAAAAAUUAUAUGCGUAGCUUCAUUAUAUCGCGAAUUUACUGCCGCAUUUUCUAUGAUCUUACUUUAAUUUAUGGAAAAUUAAGCCAUACAUCACCAGUGUAUUUAUUGAUGCUUCAUAAUCGAAAGACUUUUUGGAAGACUCAAGUUGUGAAAUAGUCAAAAGUAGGAAGUUAUUCUCUACUGAUUCAAAGACCAACCACUUUAUGAAAAAAGAUAAUUCAAAUUUAUUUACCAAAAGCAUGGGGAGCUCGUGGGGCACAUCGGUUCUAGUGUAUACGCAGCAAAAGAGUCAAGAUCUUGAGAGUGUCAAGGUCCCAUCACGUGAUGGUAGGGAGAUCGAACUCUAGCUCUUUCACGAGAUGAACAAAAGCUAAUGCCCCACUAUGUGAAUUUUGUUUUCUUUUAGAAGUAAAAUCCUAGUGUCCUGUAGCUUUUUGAGAAAAUACCAAAAAAACGUAUGUCACACUCUCGAUAGAUCCAUGCGACUGUUAGGAACCGCGGAGGGGUGGCUGCUAACUGGCGACGUAAUAGGAGAGAGAUAGCGGACGAGAGAGAAGUUUGGGUUAAGGUUUGCCGGUCGUUUUGCAGGGCAACAACGGUAGCUUGGGAAGGAAAAAAAUGAUGAUUCGCGUACAUGUGCGGGGCCAUCCGGCGGCGAGUCGAAGAGACGAAACUCAAAAUGUAAAUUGCAAGUUUCGAGCGCCGAGAUAAUAUUCAAUCUGUAUGUAGCCGCAAACCCAAAAAGGUGACUUUUUCUGCUACUAUUCCUGUAUCCCAUCUCAGGACUGUUGAUGGAGGAGUGGCUUUGAAGCUAGGCCUCCUCCUCUAAUCAAAUCUAUUUCUUCAGAGGAUAAUGCCGACAAUUAAAGCAACUUGAAGCUUGGCAGGAACAUCAAUUAGGACCAAAAAACUUUUGAUUGAUGUUACGUGUUAGCAUUGAUGCGAUAUUGUUAAGCAUAAUUUAUCGUGUUUGUUCUUUAAUUUGGAUUUAAUUUAUGCUAGGCUGACACGAGAAUCGUGUUGAUUUUUUCAGCCGAAGUUUUGCUCGACAUCUUUUCUUUCCUCUUUAUCUAGAGGUGGCAAAUGGGUUUCGAUUUAUCACAGCCCACCAAUUCACGAAACGGGCUACGCUAGCUAAUCCAUUUUGUGCCAUGGGCCGGUCCACCUUGCUUUGUGCCCCUGCUCAUUGAAAAACCAAAAAUUUGGGAAAAUUUCUUUUCAAAAUUGAUUGGAAAAGCCCUUCUCUCUCAUAUGUUUACCCGAUGAACGAUACGAGUAUUACAAUUCGGGAAGAAUUUCCGAUACUGAAUGGGUUUUAGAAGAGAUGUUUCCUACCUCAUGUGAAGAGACAUUCCGAAUUCCAGCGUGCCGGCGGAAUUGCAGCUGCCUAUAGGUAGACUGAGUAGUUAUGAUUCCCCAUGGGUAUAGGAUCCUUAUGGUAACACCUAGUCUAGUUAUCUCCCCACUCUUUUACCGAUAUAGGGAGAAGAACUUCUCCAUUAUGACUGGCAGACGGGCAUCCUAGUUCUAACGAUCCCACUGCUAAGGUUUGAUUGCCAUCCUUGGUCGACCUUAGGUAAACCAUGACCCAUGAGCAGGUGAUCGUGGAUUGCGGUUCGAAAAGAAAUCCCGAUUGAUUCGAAAUGGUCAUCGAAAAGUCAGGUUAGAGAGAAAUGGAACAUACAAUUAAAGUUUGGAGGGUUUUAAACGAACUUUCCGAAUAAUAUUUCCAGCCCUUAAAACUCCACAUCAAUUAAUAUGGUCGGUUUUCGAUGGGUCUGUGAAAUUCACGUCUUCGAACAAAUCUAUAUUUUGUUCAAGUGAUUUUAUGCUAAUAAUUUUUUUUUUAAUAAUUUGCAUAUUUUGAUAUUGAAAUGAGGUAAAUGAGAAAUUUUCAAAAAGAGAUUGAAAUGCCAAACCUAAGCCCAAAUUAGCCCGCACUAGACCAAAAUUACAUCGGCCCAAGGCCACCAUUCAGGGUGGACCGAAUGUCUCUUUCAUUUGCAAUUUCCUUUGUGACAGUUUUAGUUAUCACUAGAUCUCUGGACUACCCUACGUGUUGAAAUCUUAAAUUUAGGUCAAGAAAGUUUUCAAAGCUAACACCAAUCCGAUGAAUAAAAUCAAAAGAAGUCCAACCAAAAAAAUGCUUUUUUUGGUGUGAGAGAAGCGUAUUCUUUCAUUUAAAUGUCUCUGACUUCCUCUUUAAGACUAGACUUCCCCCUUGCAAAAGGUUGGAACUAUGAACCAUUACGAUGGAUCCAAUCUAUUAUAAACCGGAUCUAGACAAGUGUAUUUCUUUCAACAAAAUUGUGUUGAUAAACAAAGUUUUGUGCGGCAACUUUAGGUUUUUAUAACCAUACUAGUUCAAAAUGAACUUUUACCACUCAUUACCAAAUAAUAAAUGAAUAUGUAGCUUUAGUAGCAGUCCAGAUAGUUAUUAAAGUCGUUCUUUCUAAAGUUAGAUUAAAAAAUCCUUGAUUACCAGAUUUAACUUCAAAAAUCUUUGACAUCGUUUUCCCCCUUCACGUAUUUAAGGAGGGUAGGUACCUCCAGAUGAGCAGGAAGAUUCAGCUUCCUCAAUUCCUUGAGAACCGCGAGCCAGUCGGCUCUACUGGGCUUCAUGAUCUUCACCCAAGCAAGCCAAAACAUCCGACAAGCUCGCCCUCUGACGAUCGAAACAUAUGAUUUGCCUCAUCAACGCCUUGCACAUUUUCGCCAUCUUGAAAGGAAGCUUGGAUUUGGCGAUCCUCUGCUCCUCGGUAGCACGAGGCCCCACCUCGACCCAUUUGAAACUGGGCCCACCCUCUUCAGGGUUCUCAGCUGUUGCGGCAUUUCCGCCGCCGGCCGGCGAAGAAAACAGAGGCGAAGCAAGAGAGCGAGCGACCCUUGUCACGAUGAGUUUGAACAAGAAUGUGAACUGAAGACGGCGAGUUUCGCCACCGGACGAUCGUGGGUCGCCGCCACUGAAAACGACUGCUCUUCUUUUUGCCUUGCGGACGGUCACCCGCACGCCACACAUUCCUUUUCCAUGCUCACAAAUCAAAGGGUUUGAAUUCCUACUCGUGGUUAACUUGUUGAGGAGGAUUGGGAUUGCAAUAACUAGUCAGAAAAGAACCGGGGGGGGGGGGGGAGUCGAUUCUCUUUUCCCCCGCGGGCGGUGGGCGGCAAUUCUAAAGCUGCAGAAGCUAGGUCAGGAUAAGUGGCUCUGAUCCAAUGACAUAAAAUGAAGAGCAUUUGGGAGGAAAUGUUUUCUGUAUUUCCGUAUAUUCAUUGUACAAGUACACUUCUCUAUUUAUACUACUAGAGAAAGAUGUAAGACAGGAAAGAAAUAUACAUGAUACGAUUACAUUCCUAACAUUCCUAAUUUACCAAGCUAAUGAUGGAUUAACUGAAUCAAUAAUUGAUUUAAUUGAUUCAAUUAAAUCACAGCUAGAGUCAGUAUCUACUAUUGUAUUUCUAACACAUGAAAAUGCCAACAACUUAUGCAUAAAGCACCAUAGUGAUUUACUCGUGCCUCAUUUAUAUUUAGUGUGCUCUUUUGAGAACUUGAAGUGAUUUCUGAAAGGAGUGUUUCUGUUUUUGCAUUAUGAACUUCAAAUCUAUUUAACACCUUUUCAAUGUACUUUUUUCUCGAGAUAACUUUUACAUUACAAAAGGGGAGACGGCCAUUGCUGCAUGGUCGAGAAGGUGGACCAGAUCGAGUACCGCAACAUGCACUCGUUGCGCCAGAUCUCGAAGACCUGCUGGUUGGGGCAUCUUUGGAGGAUAUCCUGCUUUCCAGUGGCCACGCAGUUGCUGCACGGGGCGAUGUUAAGGUCACCAUGGGAGAGGAAGAGCCCCUAGGCCCGAUCGGGAGGGUUUUGGCCAGCGGUGGCCUUGGUGAAACCAUCGAUGCUGUUAUUGGCACGGAGGAGAGGGAAGGGAGGAGGGUGUCGAGGUUGGAUUGGUAGGUGUUUUUUAUUUUUAUUUUUGGGAGGCUGAUUUGAUCAGCUAGUUUGUUGAAUUGAUUGGGCUUGCGGCAUGAGCACGCCCCCGGGUACGGGCACGGUCAGGGAAUUAUAAGAAGAACAGCAUGGUCUGCUCUCCAAGAUAUUUUUGUUGCGAGAACUAUUUGAAGAAUCUAAAUACAUGUAUUACGAUAUAUAUGGACCGUCAUGUCUGGUAAAUAAUUGCAUCAUGACCAAUACCAGGUGCACACAAAUUGUGAUUGUAAAUACAAUCUAAACAUGGGAUUGGCCUAUCAAAUUCUUAAAUUAUGUAACUGCGGGGUUGCUAAUGUUUCACCUUAGUUAUUAAUGUCCAAAUGGUGGUUAUCCAAUGGCUAUAAAUGCAAUCAAGGCCCUGGUUUAGUAGAAUCAUAGUAUUAAGCUAAUUACUUGGACAUCAUCGUAUAACAUAUUUCCUUUAUCAAUACCGAAGAAAAGAAUUGGAAUAUAUAUACUCAUUCCAUAACUGGCAUGUGGUAAAAACUUGUAGGUUUAUGUGAGAUUGCUAUUCUCACUUUUUCUUAGGUUCCAUUCAUAUCUAAAAAAGUAACUUCCAAGAAAAUAUUUUCUAGAUUUUCUAGUGUUUCGUUCAUUGAAAAUAAACGAGUCAAGGAAAAUAUUUUUCAUCAAUGAAAAAUACCUUCAAAAGAGGGGAAAACGAUUUUCUCUUUUUUGCCCCUCUUUCUCUCACCAAACCAAGCAUGUUCUCUUUUGUGCCCUCCUUUUACUUUUUUUUUUUAUUUAUAAAUUUUCUUUUUCUUGUUCCUUCUCCUUUGGCCUAUCACUAACCACGGUGAUAGCUAGCGAUCUACCUUAGGUGAGGGAUGAUCUCACACAAGGCCUCGCUUGCCAAUCUAACGAGGCCUCAAGCCUAGCGAACCUUGGGUGAUGCUCAAGUUUGCUGACCUUUAGCGAGCUCGAAGGUCACUAAUCUAGCAAGGCUUGAGCUCACUUGUAGCCAAUCAUUGGCUAUCAAUUGUAUGGCGACUAGAAGAAGAAAAAAAAGAAAAGAAAAGAAAUUAAAAGAGAAAAAUCAAAAAAUAAAAAUUCGAUUUAAAAUAUGAAAAUAAAAAUAAAAAAUAAAAAAAAUAAACAGAAAAAAAAUAUUAAAAGGAUUGCAUAGAGGAAAAUAAAAUCCUUUCUUCCAUACCAAAGGGUGAAAAAUAUUUUCUAAUUCAUUUUUAGAUUUUAUUUAAACAUAGGAAAUAUUGUCAUUUUCCUUGAAAAUGACUUUUUGAAAAAUAUCUUCUAGAAACAUUACAUUUUCCAUGAAAUGAGCAAAGCCCGCAUAACAAAUUCUCCUAUAUCACGUAGUCUACACAAUGACAUGUAAUGAUUGAUGCAUAAUAUAGAUUAGUUUUGACAUCAAAAUUAUGGCGACCUAUUUAGUCAAUUAUUGCAUAGAAAAUCAAGGAUCAACCAAAUUCCUAGGCAAAAGCAUUAUUAAUUUGCAUUUGCAUAUUUUCGGAUUUUUUGUUUAAUAGCAUUAAGCCCACAUAAACUACACUUCCGUCAAAAAAAAAAAAAAACUACAUUUUGAUUGGAUAGGAGUUUAUGGACUUAAGUAGGGAGGCUCUGAGCUUAAUUAUAUUAUUUGGGCUAAGCCCAUAAAAGCAUAAAAUUCGGCUAAGCCCAUUGAAUACACACCAUGGCCGAAAUGCACAUGUGGAGUGCCAAAUUAGGAAAGAUUGCAAAGUCUCAUUAAAAUUGGAGGAAAUAAAAUUAUUAUCCUUACAAAUUUUAAUUAUACCGAGAUGAUUAGAGAAUGAUAGUAUUUCCUAAGAAGUUAGAGUUAAUAUAUUCACUUGAGCUAAAAUAGAAAGUGAGGGAAUUCAGUAAAUUAGUAGACAUCUCGAAGAAGAUUCAGGCAUGGAUUCAGUGGGCUAUUGAAGCACAUUCAAAGAUUUCUAAGUUGAAUUAACAAUGGUGCAAAAUAAUGGGCAAGGUAAAGAAAAGGCAAGACAAUGGGAAUAUAUAGUAAGGAAAAGAGAUAAGCACAUUAGAAAUUCUAAAACUUGUUACGAAAGUGUAAUUGAGUCUUAAAUUUUCAAGAAAUACAAUCAAGUUUUAAAACUAGUUACAAAAGUACAAUCGAGUUAUAAAACUUGUUGCGAAGUGUAAUUGAGUUUUAAAACUUUGACUAAACUAGUUUGAUAAAUUUUAGAACUUGAUUAUAUAUUUUAAAAAUUUUAGCACUCAAUUGCACUUUUUUUUAUAAAUUUUAAGACUCGAUUAAACUUUUGAAAAAUUUUAGGAUUUAGUUAUACUUUUGUGAGAAAUUUUAAAAUUUUCAAUGCACUUAUUCUUAAGGAAAAUGUGGCCAUAGUGGAAGACCAAAAAUUAACUUGGAUUCCCCGGUCUUACAAGGUCUCCCACUCUGUCUCUCUUCAAGUAUUCCACACCCCCACCCCCUUUCCCAAACACAUACAGAAUUUUAGCGAUUGAGAGCAAGUUCUCAUCAACUUCUCUUCAACAUCCUCCCGCGCCUAAUCCGUCAACAUUACACGGGCACACAUUGCCUCAAUAAAUGAGAGAUCGUGGACAUCACAGAGGGGAUCUAUUCGUGUUCUGAGUCCUCCAUCGCACGAACUCAAAUGAUAUUGACUGGAAACACACGCAAACGAAGGAGAACCUAAUAAUUCAGUGUAGUCGUGUUGUGUUCCUUAAUAGGAGAAGCCAACAUGUACAUCAUGCGCUUGAUCCCGUGACAACUACCAGCCUAUUUUCGAAAAACAUAGGCACUUGUUGAUCGUUCAUUAAUGAUACCUGUGGAAGGCCAACGAUCUCGAGGUCUCUGUAAGACUAUCGUGAAAAGAAAGACUUCCACUCGCAUCACAAUUCACCGAGGGUACAGCUCAGUAAUCGACAUUUCAUUGGUCGACAAAGACAUAGACCUACUGGCAGAUUGGUCCGACUCAUGCUCUUUCAACUGUCUCUCGGUGCUCCUUCGAAGGAAGAAGGCCGGUCGUCGAGGCUGUGGAAGCUUAACAGAGUGGCUGCUCAACAUAAGGACUAUGCUUGCCAUGGUGGGUCUAUAAGCUGGAUCUUCCUGAACACCUAGCAAGCCAAUGUGGAGGCAUCUAACUACUUCAUCUAUUGAAUAUGAGUCGCCAAUGAACGGGUCUAACACUUCGAGUGGUGUACCGGCUCUCCAAUGCUUCCACGCCUGAAAAAAAUAUUUCAUUGGAGGAAUUUCAACUUAAUUAGAUUGAUGAAGCUUAAUAUAUGUUGUAAUAGUCCAUAUCUAGCUUACAUAGCUGGCAAGAUUUUCGCCUUCAUCUAAUUGGAAGGAGCAGUUGUUCUUCAUGCCACUAAUGAUCUCUAGGAUUAGGACACCGAAACUAUAGACAUCGGAUUUUGCUGAAAUUUGUCCACGCAUUGCAUACUCAGGAGACAAGUAACCACUGCAAACCAAAAUACAUGGGUUGUAGCAUCAAUUAUGUUAUUAUAAGUUGAUAAAGCCAUAUUCUAAUGAAUAUGUACCAAAAUUAGCAUGUAUAUGAGCAUGGUGUUUUUCUAAUUCAUAGAUCAACCACAAGAUAGAUCAUAUAAACAAUAGAUUAGUAGUCAUCUAAGAAAGAGUUUGAGACUCACAAGGUCCCAACGAUUUUCUUAGUGUUUGCCCGAGUUUGAUCUACUCCGAAAAUCCUAGCCAUGCCAAAAUCUGAAAUCUUCGGGUUCAUAUCAUUGUCUAACAAGAUAUUGCUAGGUUUUAGAUCACGAUGAAUGAUUCGGAGUCUAGAAUCUUCAUGUAGAUAGAGCAUUCCUCGAGCGAUUCCAGAUAUUAUCUUGUAACGUCUUGACCAAUCCAAUUUCCCUCUCUUAUCAGGCUCUGCAUAUUUACAAUAUUAGAAACCAACUAUUUUGGAUUGAUAAAUUUUGGAAGAACUUUCAUCAAGCUUCCCGAAAGCUAUUGAGAAUCUCAACUUUAAGUUCGUGCUGAUCACACAAAUAGUUUCUUUCGCAUGGAAAAUGACAACUUAUUAAAGUAUGCAACAUACCGAAUAAAAAGUAAUCGAGGCUUUUGUUCGGCACAAACUCAUAGAUAAGUAACUUUUCUUGUCCAUCUAAGCAAAACCCGAGCAGCCGCACAAGGUUUCGAUGUUGAAGCUUCGAUACCAAAACAACCUCAUUUUUGAAUUCUCCAAUACCUUGUCUUGAGCUUUUAGAUAAUCUCUUCACAGCUAUUUUUUGUCCAUUUGGUAGCCUACCCUGAAAUUUGUUAAUUGGAUUGUUUAAGUACACAUGAAUAGCUUGUAACCACAAAUUCACAUAACAUAUGUCAAAGUUGUCAAUUUUUCUAACUGAUAAUACCUGGAAAACUUCACCGAAUCCACCCUCACCCAACUUGUUUUGAUGAGAGAAAUUGUCUGUGGCGGCUUGUACGGUGGCUAAAUCAUACUGCAGGGACUCGGCUUUUGUAAUUCCAUUUACGCCUACAAGACAAAACAACACAAAAUGGUCAAUUAACCAAAAUCAUAGAACAGUACAUCCCGCCUUCACAAUUUCAUCAUUCCAUCCAAGUAUACGGCGCAAGGCAUAUCCCGUACUGCUUUGAUCUCCUUGGACGGCAUUGUACGUCUUGGUCGCUUUACUCUGACUGAAACAACAAGCAAGGAAGAGAAGCACCACGCCUAUGCCAACAGGAACCGCGACGGCAAUGAUUAUUACAGUAGCUUUAUUUCUUUUGCCUACAUAUGUGCAACCAAAAUUUAAGCAUCAGAAUAUGUGUCGUUUAUGAAUAUAUGAGAUUUUAGUAACUGGAAUUGCUACCACAAGCAGAGCAAAUGUAGAAAAAAGAAGAAGAGAAAAACAAUGCUUAAAAAGCAAACGUGAAGAAAUUAACGAUCCAUUUGUUUCACUGAAAACAUUUUAUCCCUAAAAAUAUUUUUAGGAAAUUUUGGAGAAAGUAAGCCAUUAUUUAAUGUUUUUUCCCAGAAAACAAGUUGAAAGAGUUGAUUUGAUGGUAUUUAUUAGUCAGUGAAUCCAUUAAAGGCAGCUUGUAUUGCUAAAAAUGGCAUGAAAUGACUAAAAAAUUAGAAUCAACAUGUCUUUAUUUAUUUUUUAAUCCAUAAAAAAUAAAAAAUAAAGAUAUUGGGAAAGAAUUAUGAAAUCAUAUGUGUAAAACAUUAUGCAUGAUCAUGUUUGUUUGAGAAUGUAACAGAACAUGAGAAUUAAUGACUAAAACAAAUGAGACUUACUGAAAAAGAAACUAAUAAAAAUGAUGAGAGAUAAGAAAUAGACAUAUAGAGACCUAUACUUCUCACUCUGACCAGCAACAACAAAUCAAGAAAAUGGUUACCUUCUUGUCAGAAGGAGAAAUCGUUUUUCCCAAUCUAAUUUCUUGUUUUCGGUCCAUGGAAAAUGCUCAUCAUAGAUUGACUAGAUUUUCAUUAUCCAAACACUUAAAAGUUGAAAAACAAUCUCCCGAAAAUGAUUUUCCUUCAAACAAACAGACCCUAAGCUGGAAUCCACAAUCUGUCCUUCAUAGAAAAAAUGCAAUUGUUUCCCUAUUACCUAUGUGAGCACAUUGAUUGUUUAUUGGGGGAUUAACCAUUGAUUGAUUAAAAGCGACCUUUUACCAAUAGUCAUAUAAGUGAGCUAUCCACCUUAGAAAAAGUUGUUACCUAAUAUGUAUUUCAUCUUGACUUUGUAGCAUUAAAGAAUUGAAAGAAGCACUAAUUUCAAGAACUUAUAAUAUCAGUAUAACCUUCUUCUUCUUCUUCUUCUUCUUUUUUGUGUCAAAAAUACUUAUAAUAUUUGUCCAGCCCAGCCACAGUUUUCUUAACGAAAAGUUGCAGCAUAAACACCGGAGUCCCCGCUUAAACUAAAGCCCAGGACCAACAAGCGCACUAUGACGAGAAAUUGUUUUUAUGAUCCUCCAAUAUCACCUCAUAUCUUUAGUCAACCGAUCACGUCAUUUUAUUUUAGGAAAAAUUCUAUAAUUACUCAAGGUGGAUACGCGCUAAAUCAAGAUCUUGAUUCCAAUUAAAGCGAAAAGAGUUAGGACAGACGAAGAUCAGCAAUACAAACAGACAUUUACCUUUAGGUCCAGUCGCCGGAGCAGGUCGUGGAGGUGCUGUUGCUGGUGCUGGUGCCGGUGCCGGCAGAGCCGAGGUGUUAUAAAAGGCGUAGAGCUGGUACCUCACAUUGCAGCUCGGAGUGAGCAAGCUACCCCCUUGCUUCCCCUGAGGUAGAUUAGCGAUACCGAACUGGAGGCAUGUGCCACAGUCUGAUGCCGUCAAGUCCGGCGUGCACUGUGCAAGUGCGUACAGCUUCUGCAUGCUCGUGAUGUUUGCCUCCGCCACGGCGACCUUCUUCCCUGACCCACCAGCUGAAGCCCUCACCGCGACGUUGUUGAGGGUUUCUAAUAGGACCUGCAUGAACCGGAUUGGGUCCAUGACGUUCUCGUCGUACAAAAGGGGAGAUGGCGAUUGCUCCAUGACUGAGAAGAUGGACUGGUUCGAGUACCGCAACAUGCACUCGUCGUACCAGAUAACAGAGACCCGCCGGUUGGGGCAUCUUCGGAGGAUCUCCUGCUUUCCAGUGGCCACGCAGAUGCUGCAAGUGGCGAUGUCAAGGUCGCCGCGGCAAAGGAAGAGCCCGUAGGCCCGAUCGGGAGGGUUUUGGCCAGCAGUAGCGUUCGCGAAGCCGUCGGUGCUGUGGGUGGCGGCGGAGGAAAGGGAAGAGAGGAGUGUGUGGAGGUUGGAACGGUAGGUGGAGUUGGGGCUGAAGAGGGAGGUGUUUGGGCAAUCAUGAUAUAUGUAAUUAGGGGCAGCUCCAGUACCGAAAAUUUUGAUGAAGAAGGAGAGAGAGAGGCAGAUGGUAAGGCAAGAAUUCAUGAUUUGCUAGCUUGAUGAAUAGAUCGAGGUUGCAGCACGGACACGGAAUAGUAGGAAGAAGAGCAUGUGGUCUCUCUCUCCAAGAUAUUUUUGUGGUGAGAACUAUUUGGAGAAUCUGAAUGCAUGGAUUAAAAUAAAAGUGGACCGUCAUGUCUGAAGAAUAAUUGCAGCAUGACCAGUACCGGGUGCUUAAAAAUUGUGAUGGUAAAAGCAAUCUAAACAUAGGAUUAGACUUCCGACCGAAAAAAAAACAAAGGGAUUAAGCUAUCAUCCUUCAUUGGCUUUUAUGCAAGCAAGGUCCUAGUUAAGUGGAAUCAUGGUAUUAAGCUAAUUACUUGGACAUCAUCAUAUAACAAUUUUGUUUUUAUUAAUACUGUAGAAAAGUAUCAGAAUAUAUCGAUUCACUCUAUAUUUAGGCAUGUGGUAAAAACUUGUAUUUUUUUAUGUAAGGUUCGUUCUUUUCACUUUUUCUUAAUCUGUGAUUAACUAAAUAAAUUAGACUAAGCCUACGCAAUAAAUUCUCAUGUCACACGUAGUCUACACAACAACAUGUGAUGGAUGAUACAUAGUAUAGAUUAUUAGACUGGGUUUACCAAAGCAAAAUUUGAGCAAUUUUAUCAUCAUAUACUUGUUAUACUGAAAAUGCAACUGAGAUUAGGUUUAACAGCACAAUUGAAAGAUUAGGGGUGAAUUAUCUAUUUUCUUUCUUGUUUUUGAUAAGUUAACACAAGGCGCACCAUUGCAAAUUGAAAUUCGAGGAUCAAAGUUUGAACAUUUAAAAUUUUGACAUUUUAUUUCAUAUGACAUAUCUAAACGUUUUAAACCAUAUAGAAAUUGAUAUCUUAAAUCCUGAAAAACUAUAGUAUACUUUUUUCUUUAUACAGGAAGGUCAAAAGAGAUUUAUGACAAGUCAAGACAAACCGGUGGGAGAUUUUCCCUAAAGUCAAAUACAGUUAAAGCGACAUGAAUUUCAGUGUGUUAGGCCAUUCAAAUUCAUGUGGACAGAAGAAUAAGAUGGAUUGUGAGGAUGGAAGACAGCAACUGCCCUUGUACGAGGUCAUUGACUAAAGUCAAUUUAUGUGAGUUCGCACCCUCAUUUACUCCAACGUGGAGACUGCGACAAGAAAAGUAUGAACACCAUUGCAUAGGAGUAUCUUAGCCAAUUACAUCUUAGUCAUUAAACGUUAUAAGAGUCAUAAGUGGGACCUAUAUGAUUUAAUGAUCAAGAUGGAGUGGGCUCACCUGUCUAGAUGAGUACAAGACUUGCUUGCUGUAGAGAGAGAAAGGAAGGGAAAACCAGUAAGGCGCUAACUUAGAUGGUUAGAAAUUUUUUCAGCUUGUUUAGUGAUCUUAGGUUCAAGCCUUGUAAAAUUCAGUAUGCACCAAGCUGAUAUAGGCAUACUCUAAAGAUCACUCGAGAAGGUGAAUAAAUCGAUAUGUGCGAAAACUGAUGGAAAUACCACCUCAUAACUAUUUAAAAAAAAAAAAAGACGGGUGAAAGUGUGAUGUUGGUCUUUUUCUUUAGACAUGUAGAGGACGGCCUCAAUCGACCACCAUGAUAGAGGUCGCCAGCCUGCAUUGCGGGCCUGGGCGACCACGUCCUGAGAGCACAAUGGCUAAGUCUCCUGAGAACGAGUUCAGGUGGUGCUCGCAUGAUUCCUUCCUCACCUCCCUAUCCUUAUCCAGUGUUGAGCGUUAGGCAAUCACCACGCCGGGUUGUCGUUGGCCUUCGGCAGCCAUGACAUAGUGGUCCGAUCACAAGUGCCUUCGAUUGUCAAUGAGAUUCUUUAUAUAAUUUUAUUUUCCUCUUAAUUUUAUCUUGAAUUACUAAAUAAUUUGCUCCGUCUUAUUCGAGACUUACCAUAUAAGAAAUAGGAUCAUGUCAUGCAAGCGUAUCCUCCUCCUCCUGCCAACGGAAGCAUGAACCUCGGGAUUAAUGGUCCCGUCAUUUAAGCAAGUCAAUUACGUUAUCUUACAUUUUUCCAAAGCAGAAUAAUGCUGACUGAGUGGGACUCUUUGGUCCUUAUCCUCAAGCGGAGACUUGGGAAAGAAAAGUCUAAGGAUGUCGACCUAACUGGAUAUGAGAGAGAGAGAGAGAGAGAGAGAGAGAGAGGAGUGGGACUCUUUGGUCCUCAGAGAGAGAGAGAGAGAGAGAGAGAGAGAGAGAGAGGAGUGG
RNAcentral lists this long non-coding RNA (56274 nucleotides) under Eucalyptus grandis. RNAcentral describes it as "long non-coding RNA (EGRA_LNC002215)". Lineage: Eukaryota; Viridiplantae; Streptophyta; Magnoliopsida; Myrtales; Myrtaceae. The record is from RNAcentral.